Molecule: long non-coding RNA, 54586 nt
Filed under: Vitis vinifera (wine grape)
Lineage: Eukaryota; Viridiplantae; Streptophyta; Magnoliopsida; Vitales; Vitaceae
Description: long non-coding RNA (VVIN_LNC001323)
Source: RNAcentral
UUGAGAAACUUCCUCUCAAAGGUUUAUAAAUAAAUGAUCUCACAAAAAUCCUAGUACAAGAACUUUAAGCUCAAAUGAUACAAGAAAACUAGAAUUAAAAGGUGCACUAAAGAUAUGCAAGUUUUACAACAAUGGUGCACUAAAAAACACUUUUCUAAGGCUCAAAUAUAUUCAAGAAAGGUUUGGGAAGGUUAAACUUUUUAAACAAUAAAGAUUGGAGCCUUUUUAUAGAAGAGAAAAACCAAACUAGCCGUUUGGGGGUUCGAUCGGUCGAGUUAGGGGUCGACCAGUUGACUAGCCAUUAGCAUUAAAUGUUUGGCAGGUAAUCGUUGGGCUUCAACCGGACCUCAACCGGGAAGAGAAUCUCCUCGACUGGGAAGAGAAGGUCACUAGGAGGGAGAGAAACUUUUUGGACUCCCUCGACCGGUGGUCGACUGGAUGAGCACAACUGGUCGAGCCAUUUUUUGGCUCAACACCCAAUUUUUUCAACUUAAAACCUUUUAAAACAAAUUUGAAAACAUUUAACACAAGGUUUUAGUUGAAAACAUGAAAUCAUUCAAUUCUUAAGAUAUUUAAAAACAAAAUAACACUUGGAUGAUUUUGAUGCAUAAGUAAAUAAUGUAAUGCAUGAAAAUCCUAGUGCACCAACAACCUUGCAAAGAGAUCUUAUGAAGCCGGGGUCUUUGAAAAACACUUCUCUUUGAGGUGGUCUUCUUCUUCAUGAUUUCUCCUUGGCUUGAUUUUUUUUUGUGAUUACCACUUUGGAAAUCGUCUUACCUAAUCACACUUGAAAUAUAAUCAUUAGUUCUAAACCUUGUUUUGUCAUCAUCAAAAUCAAGAUUAACCAAUCCUUAGUUUCACACAAACCAAACAAGAAUCUUGACUACAGGCUGAACUUUCAAUUUCCAAAUAAAGUUAGCUUGAGGGAAGGCAUUGGAAAAUCACUUUUAGAUCGGUAAGAAAAGGACUUUGAGGAGAACAAGCAUGGAGGAAUCAAGGAUUUAAACCUCUUACUUGAAAAAAUAGAGGACUUUUAAAGACUGUUCAAAUAAAGCACAAGAUUGGGGAUAUCAAUAAUUUCCUUAUCUAUUAAAUCACAACAAUUGAAAUUCCAGGAUGGGGAUUGGUCAAAUUCUAGAUUGUCAUAACAUGUCAUCUGAAUCUUAAUCAUGAGAUUUACAUUUUGUGCUGGUUAUGUGGAAUCCUUAUAUUUUUCCUUUUUUUUUGGGGAUCUUGUAUGCUAUGAUGUUUGUCUCAGUUACGGACACAUAUGUUAUACAUUGAACAUGCUCAUGUGGACACACAUGGUUUGGUGUUGUCUCAUAUGUUAUGCUGUUUGUUUCAGUUACGAACACAGGCACUUGCUUCUCUACACUGUGGCCUACAGAAUAACCAAGGUCUCCCUGUUGCCCAUGUUGCCAGGUGGCUUGGGAUGGAGGUACCUUUUUUUUUGGCUUGGUGUUUAUUAUUCCUAUAUCCAUUUUACACACUGAAGUUGUCCCCAACCAACUUAUCUCAAUUCUCACAUGUUUUGUGCUUUGAUUAUUGAAACCAGGAAGAAGACAUAGAAAGCCUUAUAGAGUAUCAUGGGUUCUUGAUAAAGGAAUUUGAAGAGCCUUAUAUGGUGAAGGAAGGCCCAUUUCUUAAUGCUGAUAAGGACUAUCUCACCAAAUGUUCAGAACUUGUCCAUUCAAAAAAGUCAAAUACUAUAGUUGAGGAUGUUGCAUCUUCUUGUCAAUCAAUGUCCUUGCCUUCUGCAAAAGCAACAGAGCUUCAGUUGAGUAAGGACUACAAUCAUGAGCCAAUAGCCACUGCACCUGUCGGCAAAAAUGAUUAUGACCCUGCAAUGGAUGAAGAAAUGGCUGAUUUUGAAGCUGUUUCAUCCCCAAAAGAUGGCACGCCAAUCCAGCUGAUGCUUGGGCCAUCAACAGUUUCCCAGCAGAGUGCAGAUGGCCAUUGGGUGGCAAGUGUUAGUUCAAUGGCAUGUGAUUUCGCCUUAGCUCAGAAGUCCCCUGAAUCUCAGCCAACUAAAGUUGGAAAAGUGGGGCAACCAAAUUUUGAUGCACUCUUCAGAAACUCUCUGGAGAAAAGAAGACAGUCUCACAUGGAAGCAAUGCCAUCACAGGUUGUGUCAACACCAGUUAUGCAAGAGAGAUUCCCUGUUACUGAAUUUAAUUAUCCUGUGGAAAAUUCAGUACCACAAACUGUGGUAAUUAAAGAUAUAGAAGAUGAAGAACUUACUGACAUUCACCAAGAAGUUGAAAAUGAUGUUGUGGCAAGUAGUCAGGUUGAAGAAGUCGCGGAAGCUAAACUCAAAUUGAUCUUAAGGUUUGUGGUUUGUGCAUCUGAUUUGUUUGUAAAUGAAUGUGGGGUUCCCUUACAAUAAUUAUUUUUUUGCAUGUCUCUUUGGUCAGAAUAUGGAGGCGACGUUCUUCAAAGCGAAGGGAGUUGCGUGAACAGAGGCAAUUAGCAGCAAGUGCUGCACUAGAUUUGCUAUCACUGGGCCCACCAAUUCAACAUAAUGAAGAUGUAAGUUUGUUCACUAUUUUUCUUCCCUUUUUUUUUUUGUUUUUGUUUUUGUUUUUUUGUUUCUUGUUUAAUCUUGUCCAUCCUAUCCUCUCUUGGGCCUUCCUCCUAUCUCUGUCUGAAUAAAAUAAAUAAAAAAAUUGAACUGAAAUUCUUCUCUCUCUCUCUCUCUCUCUUUUCUAUGUAAUUUACCUCUCCUCUCUUGGCUUCCAGUUUCUUAUUCAUGAAAAUUUGAGCCCAUGUCCCAUGGCUAAGCAUCAAUGCAAUUUAUAUACAUGUGAGCAAAUCUUGUAUGGGUAAUCCAACUCUUCCUUAUUGGUUUCCAAACUUUUGUUUGUUUGGCAUUUCAAAACCCAAUAAUAAGCAUCUUGUUGCCUUUUACUAUGAAAUUGAUGGGGCGACAGUCCGCAAACAAAAGCUGGGCCAGCCAUUUUAGAAAAGUUAAAUCAUAAAGGUUGUUUUGUUCUGUGUUUCCACACAUCAUUAUUUGACUGUAAUUAUGCAAGGUCACGAUUGACUUUAAUGAUUGUUUACUUACUAGAUAAGUUCCUUAUUAUGCAUUUUGGUACCUUUUUUUAUGUACAGUAGUAUUAUAGUUGAAUGACCAACUUCACUCACUGCGCAAACAAUAUUCCUUCUAUUGAUUUUUUCCUGACCUUUCAACUUAUUUUGUAUUUCUCACUUCAUUUUCAUUUUCCUCCUGUGAAGCAACCAAGCACUUUCAGUGAGUUCAAUAUUGACCAAAUUAUGAGGGAGAGAUACCAAAAACAUGAACAAUCCUGGUCCAGGCUGAAUGUUUCAGAAGUGGUAGCAGAUAAAUUGAGUGGAAGAAAUCCUGACUCUAAAUGUUUGUGCUGGAAAAUUAUUGUAUGUUCCCAGAUGAACAACCCAGGAGGAGAAAACAUGGGCCAUAGGAGCCAAGUUGCCCAUUUUGCAGCAGGUACGUGGUUGCUUUCUAAGCUUCUGCCUACCAGAAAAGAUGACGAUGCUGGUCUAGUAAUUUCAUUACCUGGCCUGUCUAUGUGGGAGAAAUGGAUGCCUAGCCAAUCUGAUGCUGAUAUGACCUGCUGUUUGUCCAUUGUUGUGGAAGCAAAAUUUGAUAAUCUAAACCAGACAGCACUUGGUGCAAGUGCAGUUCUUUUCCUUGUAUCUGAAAGCAUCCCAUUGGAGCUUCAAAAGGUCCGACUCCAUAACCUUCUGAUGUCUUUACCUUCUGGUUCAUGCUUGCCACUGCUGAUCUUAAGUGGCACAUACAAAAAGGACGCUUCAGAUCCUUCCUCUGCCAUAAUUGAUGAAUUGGGGCUCAACAGCAUUGAUAGGUCACGUGUAAGUCGCUUUUCAGUUGUUUUCCUUGUUCAAGAUCAGCAAACAGAACACACUGAUGGGUUUUUCAGUGACGAGCAAUUAAGAAAGGGGCUGUAUUGGUUGGCUAGUGAAUCACCCCUACAGCCCAUUCUUCACUGUGUCAAAACACGUGAACUGGUUCUGACCCACCUUAAUUGUUCUUUGGAGGUUCUUGAAAAUAUGAACAUAUACGAGGUGGGUCCAGACCAGUGUAUCUCUGCCUUCAAUGAUGCAUUGGAUCGAUCUCAAGGAGAGAUUUGUGUUGCAGCUGAUGCAAAUCGUACCAGUUGGCCAUGUCCUGAGAUUGCUUUGCUAGAGGAGUCUGGUCAUGAGCAUAGAGCCAUUAAGUUGUACUUGCCAAGCAUAAGAUGGAGCUCUGCUGCAAGAAUUGAACCCCUUGUAUGUGCAUUAAGGGGCUGUAAACUCCCUACUUUCCCAGAUGAUAUAUCUUGGUUGAACAGAGGUUCCAGCAUGGGCCAGGAGAUUGAGAACCAGAGAUCGCUUCUUGAAAAUUGCUUGAUCAGAUACCUCACUCAGUUGAGUAAGAUGAUGGGCUUGGCACUGGCAAAAAGGGAGGUCCAUGUCAUGCUUCAGAACAGCACCAAACUUGAGCUCCAUAAUUCAAGCUACUAUAUAGUUCCGAAGUGGGUAAUGAUUUUCCGACGGGUUUUCAAUUGGCAGUUAAUGAGUUUAUCUAGCGGACCUGCUUCUGCAGCUUAUGUUUUGGAGCACUACAGUGCUGCUCCAACAAAAUCGGGAAGUUCUGAUAAACCAGGGCUUGAAGGUAGCAGAUCAUCACCGUAUUGUUUAAUUCAUCCCACUCUAGAUGAAAUGGUUGAAGUUGGCUGUAGCCCCCUUUUAUCCAGGAAGGGUCAGUCAGAGCCCGAGCCUUUUCAACCUCUACCAAGAUUGGUUUAUGAUAGUUCUCAUGUUCAGGAAUAUAACACCAAUGAUUUGGAGGAGGAUGAAGAGAAUUUUGUUCAGGGUGUUGAGUUGGCAGAAUCAAAUGGUUAUACUUACUCAACUGAUGGAUUAAGGGCUACUGGCAGUAGAGAAUUGGUAGUGGUUACCGAGGCAACAAUGGGAGCUGGAAAAUUAAGCAAGUUGGUAGAGCAGUGUAACAGAUUGCAGAACAUGAUAGAUAAGAAGCUUUCAGUUUAUUUCUGAUAUGCUAAUUAUUCUACUUGAAAAUUUUUGUAUCUAUAGGUGCGCACGCAUGCUCUCGAAGAAUUCUGUUUCGUUUUUAAGUUCUGUAAUUCUAUUGUAAUGUUUCUUCAUGCAAUGAAAAUAAUAAGAGCUUUGAAGACAUUACUCUGGGCAGGCAUUGUGUAGAUUCACUCGCUCAAUUUGAGUAGCUAUGGCGAUGACAUGGUCAAUCUUUUAAAGGGUCACAAGGAGUGAUGUCACCUUAGUGACUAACGAAAUCUUAGCAGAGUAAAGUUUAUGCUCUUUUCCCAUAAUUGAUAUAUUCAACAACUUUAUUUAGAGAAAUUAAAAAAAAAAAUUGCUUAGAAUUAUCCAACUUCACUUAACUUUUCAAGGGCCUUAGGUUCUCAGCAAAUGAGAUAUUUCUUAAUAUUUUUAUGUUUAUCUACAAGGAAAAACUUUGGGUUUGUUGGAAAGAAAAGCUGAAAGGAAUCUGUUAAAAUGCCUUGCAGUAGAAGGGACCCAUAGCUGAAAGCCAGGGCAAUGGCUUGAGCUUGGGCUUUUGUUCUGCAAAAGGAGAAAGUGCUUCCGUUGCUGCCUUGCUGGAAUCUUUCUUUUUCUUGAUCGUAGGCCCCGAAACUGUUGCGUGCAUUCUCCUUCCAUUCGCCAAAUGUCUUUUCAUUAAAUUCUGAGCUUGAUAUGAAGUGAAGUUUCUAUUUUGAACCAACUUCCAAACUGUAAAUUCUAAGAAUGGAAUACGCACACUCAUCACUUUACAAAGGAAAUGAUCAGACACGAGCUAAACCCAUUAGGAAAGUGAAAUGGCAGGUUCUUUCGGGGAAGGACUGGAGCUCUUCACAGAAAGGAAUGCUUCAUAUUUCUGAGGAGAGGAAAGCAAGGUUGCUCACCAAGUUGGGUAGGCAAGUGGGUCACUCUGAAACCCCAUGGUUUAGUCACUUCAUAAGGAAAAACAAGAACAAGAGGAUGAAAAGCCACAUCUUAUGAUGAACAACCUCAUACCUCAACACCAUUAUUGAACCAACUCCAACCUCACAUAACACUAUUGAAUUAACCUUCCACAUCCAGAGAUGACACCUUCCAAACAUUAUUGAAUGAAAAGCAUAAUCAUUGGAACAACUGUGCUUCCUUUAAUUUCAAUCAUGGAACAUCCAAUGCUACACCAUUUGAACCAUUGAAAUUGAUAUUUCUAUAUAUAAGAUUGAGAAUGAAAUUAACAGUCCCAAGAGUACAUCUCUGAUUUAAAUCAUAACUAUUUGUGGAUAGACAUGGUUAAGUAUUGCAGCUAAACACAUUAUGAAACCUUCCACAUCCAGAGAUGACACCUUCCAAACAUUAUUGAAUGAAAAGCAUAAUCAUUGGAACAACUGUGCUUCCUUUAAUUUCAAUCAUGGAACAUCCAAUGCUACACCAUUUGAACCAUUGAAAUUGAUAUUUCUAUAUAUAAGAUUGAGAAUGAAAUUAACAGUCCCAAGAGUACAUCUCUGAUUUAAAUCAUAACUAUUUGUGGAUAGACAUGGUUAAGUAUUGCAGCUAAACACAUUAUGAAACCUGUUCUUCCUAAAUCUGAUCUAGAGGAAACACCGUCGUAUCUGUGCUCAUAUCUGAUCUCACGAUCCAUGGGUCCCAGCUUUUGUAUGUUAGCAGGUGCAAGCCAGUGGCUGCAGAAUAACCUUAAAGCCAACUUGUAUAGUUAAAAGAUCUGUGUGUCAUCAGAAAUUUAACAUGAACUUGUAGUGUGGAGAUCAGCCAAAUAAGUAGAUAGGUAUGGGCAGAACAGAAUGCUUCCAACCCCAGUAGCAUACAAUAACAACCUCCUUCCUGUUCCAUGUUCCCUGUCAAAAAUAGUUCAGUAUUUUGAGAAAAAAUAAAGAUGCUCAACUCUCCAACUCACUUUCUUAUUCUGUCUUUCCCUAUUUUAUUUUGCCUUCACCCCCUAUCAAUUUAAAAGAAGGUCCAGUGAGAUCAAAUGAAGGAUUGAAUGCAAAUAGUUACACUUAGUCUCCCUGAACACAUUCUUUGAUUGGUUCUUAAAAGUAAAUCAAAUUCCAAGACAUGGAUAUGGUACCAUUUCAAGGCAAAUGAAACAGGGCAAUUUGAGUCAACUUCAACUUCUUUUUGACCCAAUCACUGCAAUCAAUGAAGAGAAGAAAAAUGCUCAGUUUGCAAGAAAAAGGUACAUAAUUGGAAUGAAACAGAGCCUGAUUAACCCACCAUUUCCAACAGUCUAAAAUGUGUUGGAGAGGGAGCAACAAAUUGCUUGGCUUUGAUUCACUGAAAGAGCACACUAACAAAGCUGCAUAUCUGAGAAUUCACUUACCGUUGAAUGAAAAACUUCUGACCCAGUAGUAAUGGAUACAUCAGGAGUUCCUCCUCUUCCUGUCCUCAAGAUAGCCAUGGUAUUGGCACCUGACUAUACCAAUUACAAAAAAUAUUAGGCCACCAUAAAACCAAAAAAAGUGGAGUGGGAUAGAAUACUAAUGCACCCAGAUGGUAGCAGCAAAUUCUGCAAGUGAGCAAAGGAAAAAUGUGGCAGGGACACACAACAUAUUUAUUUUAAGAUUUUUUUUUUUAAAUAUUACUUUUAGUAUUGGGGUAUUUAUUUUUCUUGGAAGGGGUCCCUGUCUACUACAGUUGAGUUUAACCCAGUGGAUGAUCAUAACCAUUUGAAUCUAAGCUCUCUCUUGGAUUAAACAUGCCAAAAAUCAUGAAAUAUAAUUAACAGUAGCAGCCAACCAACGCAUGCUGUUCGUAGCAUAAACCUCUGAACUUAGACCCUGCCAAAAUGGAGGUAGAGGCUUACUUACCACUAGUUCCACCAUUGCCAACGGUGAACAUUAAUGCAGAAUUAGAAGAUAAGAUUUUAGCUUAUAGUGAAAAGAAAAGUAACGAAUGAACAUCCAAAGAAAGAUUUGAAUUAUUCAUACAUCAGAUAGGUCUCUAAUGUGUACAAUGAUGAUUGUUAUAUCAUCAGUUCGAUUUUCAUGCUCCAACCAUAGUUUGUAUGAUUCUCCAGCAAUGGCUGCACAUGCAUCUCUAGGAUCUGGAUAUCUUGCCACCUACAUAAGAAUUACCAUUAGAACUUGUUAGGGGAACAGUGGGACUGCGGGUAAUAAAAAAGUACAGUUGAAAUAAUAAGAUAAGCAAGAAUGCCACAACAAAAUUAUAAUGCUUUUGAAGCCAAAUUCUUUGUUUCAGUUUGUCAAAGUAAACUGAUCAAUAUUCACUAAAACAGAUAGCACUCUUAAUGCUAAAAUUUAGUUCUCUGACUCUAUGUUCGGGAGGAAAAAAUUCCAAAAAAUAGGACGAGAACUGCUUAAAAUGAAAAAUCAAAACCAAUUUGUCUCAAGUACUCAGAACAACAGGCUCAAAAAUACAAGUUGGAAAUGGAUAUUGCUACGCAGAGGCUCACAAGCAGUUGAAAAAAACAACUUGAUUGCCAAAUAUGGGGCAUAAAAUGUGAAUAAACUGCGGUAGACUUAUAAAUUAUAACAAAACUUUCUCUUACAUUUUCAUUGCUUCCGCAGUUAUUAUUACUUUCACAUUUCUACUAGUUAAGGCAUUAAAUAUGUCUGAUUAGAAAUAAUGGAGAUGUUCAUGGCCCAUCAUUUCUGUAAGGCAGCCAUACAAUUGAAGGAGAGAUUGACCCAAUUCAGAAAAAUGCUAAUUUUUUCCUUUUCUAAUACCAGCAUGAUUAGAAUAUAAAUUUACAUUAAUUAAUAUAGCCAAUGCAUGCAGAUAUCAUACCCCAAAUUGCGCAACUGUGAUUAUCUUGAUGCAAUUACCAACAUCAGAAAUUGUGAAGAAAAAUUGAAGUAAUAAAUUCUAGUCAGCAAUCAAGUAAUAAUAUUUGAUGUCUAAUCAGCCCUUGAGGCCUGGCUCAAGUGGUAAAGUGUUGGGGAGAGCUUGUGGGAGGUUUCAAGUUCAUGUCCCAAUGGGGCCAAAAAUUUACCUAUCAAGAAGAAAGAAAGAAAACAUUUGCUGUCCAAUCUAUUUCAAAUGGAAAUCUGGACAGAUGAAAUAUAGUAGGGAUGUUAGCACACACCUUUGGAAUGCACCACACCAAUGUGACUUACGUAGAACACAAAAAUGAGAUUAUUUAGUUUCCCAAAGCAUUUGAAAUCAAUAUACUCCAUACUAUGCAUCACACUGGUUUUAGAAUUUCACGAAAUCACCCUACUUACAUUCCUUUAUAUUGUGGACAAUGUCCCUUUCCAUGUAGCGUCUAAGGCUUCCUUUUUGAAUAUUCUAACAGGAUGGUAGAAAAGGGCAUGAUGAAAAGUUACAGCAAUGAGAUAAUGAGGAAACAGAACAAGACAAUACACAGGACAGCACACCUGGGCUUAUUUGUUGCAAGGUUUGGAUUAUAGAAGAAAAAAUAAUAUGCAAUUACAUAUUAUGAUAUUUUCUAUUCUUGGCCCGAGAUCAUAUAAAGUAUGUGUAGGAAUGUGGAAUGUUAGUGAUGCUCAACAUACAAGGACCCUUGUUUUAAAAAGAAAAGGACCAAAGAGGAGAAAGGAAGGAAGAAACAUUUGGUACUUCACUACAUUGUGGGUAUAGUCAUAGCACACUAAUGGCAAUUUGACUAACCUAGAGACUUCUAUCUACACAUUUGUAUUAAUAACAUAAUGCUUAGAUGUUAAUAUUUCCCAAUGAAAUUUUAGAGCUAAAUUCUCCAACUCCUUCACAUCUUAAGGUGAUACCUAGAAGCAGCAAGUGGUCAAGGGUCACGCCAUAUUGAACAACUUUCAAAAUUAAACAGGUGAAUCAAAUUGAAAUUAAUGACAAAAAACAGUAAAUGGAAUAUGAACAGUGAAAGACGGAUGAAGUAAAUUAAGUACAAACUAGAUUAAGGAGGGUUAUUUAUCUGUCCUAGAAUGAGUUCAUUAUCAUACCAUCUCGACAACGGUCUGGCUGGAGAGAAACUCAAAAACCCCAUCACUUGCAACAACAAAAAACAGAUGAUUGGAUGCAAGCUCAAUCAUUGACACCUCAGGAACAGCAAUCACACCAAUUUUCUCAGCUGUACCAUCUCCUACACUCCUUGUAAAUGCAGUCCCAGGGUACAUACCAUUCUGUACCCACAACCUUGGAGGAUCGCUUCCUUCAGUUUCUUCAUCACCCCAUGUUUGAAUAUCUGGGUCCUUAAGCCCUUCCACUUGAUCCACACUCAGAACCCUGGCCCCACAAAGCUUCACUCUAUCAUAUUCAUCUUUUCUAAAUGGUGUCUGAUCAUAAGACAGAUCUUCUGCAAUAAUUCGAUUCCCCUCCUUAACUGCAAUCACAGCCCUUGAAUCACCCACAUUUGCAACAAAAAGGGUAUUCCCAAUAAGAAGGACCGUAAUCGCCGUUGUACCACUCAUUGAAUCAUCUAUCUCACUAUUGUGUAGUUCGGAAUUUGUCACUAAAAAGGCUGAAUUAUAAACUUUUACAGGAUCAUCUAACAAUGUGGGAUCAUUUGAUAGUACUUCUACUAACCUGUCCUUAACAAAAUUCGAACACUGAGCACCGAAUUGCCCAUGGCCAUCAAAUACCCCGAAGAAAUGGACGUUGGGGUUACCUUGAAUUUCUGUUUUGAUGAUGUAACUGUCUUGAUUUUCUUUAUCUGGCGAGUCAGGGUAGUAGCCACGCUGCGAUAGGACCGAGUACUCCAAAUUGAAGUUAUGAGAAGGAACAGCAACACACUCCAACAACCUGUCUGAGAUUAUGUGCCUUCCACCAUACCGGCCCCUUUCACGGUAGUCCCGGGAAUCACCGUUUGAUGAUGGUGGGUAACGACUACAGCACUUUCCAUGGACACAGCCCAUGUUUCAGGACACAAUCAACCGACUAAACAAAGAAAUCCAAACGCAGCCCACGUGUUUGCAAGAAGCCCUAAGCGAAAUACAAAACGAGUUGAGCCAAACCGUGACAGAAAUGCAAAUCCUGGAGGGUUGUGUGGUGAAAUGGGCGUUGCUCGCAGUCAACAUUGUGGUCUUGAACAACGAUGCUCUGCCUAGAACCCAUGUUUCAAGAGCAGAAUUAAGCCACAAUGAGCAAACCCUAGAAACAAACAACCCAAAUAACAAAAAGGGUUGCGCUGUUGACGAGAACUAUAAUUCCCAAAUGAUGAUUGGCAUCUGGGUUAUCCUCCACAAAAGGUUUCCUACAAAAAUUCCCCAAGAUUAGAAUAGGCUAUAGAACAAGAAACGCUUGACACGAAACCCCAUCAGAGAAAAAGGGAUAAGAAAACCCUAAAUCAACCCUAAGAAGAAGCAAAAAGUAGAGACACCUUGGCCCUGAUCAUACAACACCCUUUCCUCAAACAGGACGUCUUGUGGGGUUCACACACAAUUUAAAAAAAAAAAACAUAUAUAUAAAAAAAAAAAUUUAAAACAAUGUACUUUAUUGGCGCAGAAGAUCACGGCUCAAGAAGAGAGCAUUUAAAGCAAAGAUUGAAGAAAAUGAAAACCUAAAGCAAGAGUCCAAAUGGGGUUCUGAUGAUGACGAAAUCGGGGCUUCUUUCAAGAGAGAUGAUAAAGAUUUGUCCAUCCAUGUACGCAUAUGCAACAAAGCCCAUGUCCCAAGACAAACAUGCACAGUCGAUUGUGGAUGUGUGUGUGAGAGAAAGAGAGAAAGAGAGAAGGAACAAAGGUCCAUCCAUUAAAUUGAAAUGAAAAUCCCGGGAAAGUGACAAGUGUAUAUUUUCCACGAUCCACAGAGCCAGACUCUGGUCGUCGCUCGUGUGUAACACAAUUUGUCCCUUCUCCUUUUUCACUCUUAUAAUUUAAGACCUUCCCCCAUAAUUUAAUUUACCCAUAAAUUGAAAACAAAUUUAGACUAAGCUUCCAUUUUCUUCAACCCCUCAUAUCUAAUAAGAAAAUAUUAACUUAUCGGAUCAAAUAUUAAUCAAUUUAUCAUCUAAACCAUUAAAUAUAUAUAGUGAAAUUUACAUUAUUAGAUAACGAUCCGAAUUAGGGAAAUACAAAUAAAUAAAAUCGAUAUAUAAAUAAACGUUGUAAUAUUUCACAUCGAAUAGUAGAUAAAAAUUUUUAUAUUAUAUAAAUAUGAUUUUUUUUUAAUUUUGUAGACGCAUUUUAAAAUCGUAAAAAUUCUUUAAGCUCAGAUCAAACAAUAUCACGAUUGAGUGGCAAUCAUUAUAAAUUAUAUCAAAAUCAAUUCUCAACCUGGUAUAAGAGUUUAUUUUGCCUCAUGAGGGGUAUCUAUUUGUAGGACGAUGUUGUGUUUGUAAAAGAGGUGUUUGUGAUGUCCCAUAUUGGAUAAGAGAAAAAGUUUCCAACAUUAUAUAAGUGUAGACUUCUAUUAAUUAUGUAGAGACGUUUUAAAGUUAUGAGAUUUAUUUUACAUCCAUACAUAUAUAAUGGAAAUAAUGCCUUGAGAGAAUACUAUUGAUGGAUUGGUGCAAAAAGUUGAACAUUUACAAUGAAUUAAGAUAAACCUUGAGUUCAUGAUUUGACAACCACAAAUUUCGUGGUUGUAUAGAGUGAUUGAAACCUCUUGGAGCCAUGUCGAAUUUUAAUACUAUAUGGGUAACCUUUUAUUUUGGACUUCAGGCUAAUAUUUUUUAAGUUAUAGAUUUUUUUGAAUAAAAUUAAUUAAAUAAAUAUAAUUUUUUUAUUGAACUUAAAAAUUAAUUUUUGAUUUUUGAUUUCUCCUAAGUCAAAUCCUGGCCAUUUAACAUUAUAAUAAAAAUUAAUUAAUAAGAUAAUGGAUCAUGUAUUUGUGGACCAGAAAAUGAAUAUCUUAUGAAAUUAAAAGUCAAUAUGAAAAAAGAAAAAAAAAAGAAACAGAAAAAAAAAGCCCACUUGUCCUAGAAGUUGAAGAAGGUGAUCCCACAUAUCAGGUAUGGUUGGUUUGUAUCUUAGAGCUUGUCCCAAAUGCAGUUUUGGAAGUUUCUGUAGGGGAUGAGAAUAUUAAGAUAGACACACAGUAGGUGGAAAAGUCUUGCUCAUUGGGGUUUGGUGAUGGAAGCAAAAGCCUCCAAAACAGCUUUUGGAAAAAGCUUUGGAUUGGGUAACAAACUUCAACAGCAUUAGGGACCAAACCCAUCUCUUUCAUAUCACCCUCUAGGGUUUCAGUCCCACCAAGAUUCUCACAUUUUUAGCUUUCUUUCCUUUUUUUUUUUUUUUUUUGGUUUUUUUCAUGUUUAUCUCAUUGAAUAUAUAAUAAGCACUUCCACAAAAAUUCAAAAAAUGAUGAUAUUCUCAAUUCUUUCUACAUUUUACUUGGAGUAUAUGAAAAGUUUUUUUCCUUUACUUUUCAAAUUUCUUCUGAGUCUUUACUUUUUUUUCUUUUUUAUUUUUGCUUUAUACAUGUUUGGAAAAGAAAAGAAAAGGGGAGUGUAGAAGGGGUGAAAUCAAGAAAAUAAAGGUGAAGAUGGAUAAUAGAGAGAAUAAUAAAGCAUAAGCUUACUAAAAGCAUAACUUAUGGGUGAAAAUCUUAGAUUUCAAUUGACAAGUAAUCCAAAAAAAGGGAUUUGAUUCUAAAGCAUAUGUUUGGUAUGGGUCAUUGGAUUUCAUUACAAAAAGGCCAAUUCAAGCAACUAAUGAAUGUUACAUUACCAUAGAUUAUAAUAGUAUAUAUUAUCAUAUACCUUGCUUAUGACACCUACCUAAGGAUUUAGAAGCAGAUGGGGUGCCGGUCUGGAAAACAGAAUGGGCCCAGGCUAAGCCUCAACUAUUGGGUGGGCUAGGGCUGCAAGUCAUUUUGUGGGUCUGGCUAAAUUGUGGUCCAUUGUUUCAACCCAACCCAAAUAUUGGCCUCCGGGCCCAAACCUUACUUGGGCUGCUAUAAUUGUGUAAAGGAUUUCCUCUUGUGGUGCACUUGGUGGUAAUUUGGUGGUGAUAGUGAGAGAUAAUUUGAAUAGCAAUUUGGCCACAUUUGGGAGGUUAUUUGAGUUAAUUGCUUUCCAAAAGUAUGGUUAGGCUAAAAUGAAGAGACAAGCGAAGCCCCUAUAAACUGAAACACGGGUUGCAAAACUAAAAGGGCGUCCAUGUUAAUUUCCAUUUAGUAAUGUUGGAAUGCAACAAUGAUGUUCUUAAGCCCGAUGAUGGAUCACCUAUAUGAAUUCAAUAUAUAGUUAGGAUGAUGAAGAGACGUGCUAAGCCGUUAUCUGCAAAACUAGAAGGUCGUUCGUGUUAAUUUCCAUUUGGUAAUGUUGGGAUGCAAUGUGGUGCUCUUAAGCCCUAAAAUGGAUUAAUUAAAUGAUGGUGCUUAGAAUAGGCCUAUUGAGUAUGAUAUUGAAUGCUAUAAAAGAUUUAACCCAUCCUCGUUGGAUAUCAAUUGGGAUAACAGAUGUUGAAUGCUUUCUUAGAUAAGAUGGUGAAAACCCGAUUCAAGAGGGAUAACACCACCAAAUUCCAAGGGGAAGAUAUGGAGAGGAGCGUGAAGCAACCAAGAAUUGAGAGUGCAGGAAGUGAGUAGGAAACACAAGCACCUUUUUGGCCACCAAAAAGCCAUGGAAAUAAGUGGAAAUCCUAGUAUGUCCAAAAGUUUGUCAAUAUUAGCCAACAACGGCCCAUGUUUCCAGAAUGGAUCCAAAACCAGAUAUUGGUAGGCCCACUCUAAAAAACUUGGAAAACCCACCACCCAACCCACAUAUAGUUGUUCUCUAAAAUCAUGAAUAUUAAUUAAUAAUUAAUUUUGGAGAAGCCCACUUUUGAAAGAUAUGAUAUUGAGAAGGAAAGAGAAAGAAAGAGAAAGAUAGAGAAAGGGAAUCCAAGUAGAUGGUGGAAGGGCAGGAAUGAGGAAGCUAGUGAAGCUCAGUGACCAUGCAUGGUGAGAAGCAUCAAGCAGGUGGAAUUGCGCUUUACCCAAAUCCCCACUUGAUAUCUUAAAAGUGCAGAUACGGAAUCCAUGCAUAUCCGGACACACACAAACACACCCUUCAAUCUUUUUCACACACAUCAAAUUAAAAUUAGUCAUUUCUGGUGGCUGCCUUCCCCUAAACUUCUGCUAACCAUCAUGAUCAGACACAAGAUAAUGUAUAAUAAAAACAUGUAUAAAUGAAAUUCCAAGUGUAAAUUUUGUAUUCAAAGCCACCAUCCCCAAAACCCAUUACAUGAAUAUAUCAAAAUAUUUGUGAAAUUGCUUCCCCAACAGAAAUAAUAAUAAUAAUAAUAAUAAUUAUAGCUUCACAUAUGAAAUUUCUACAACAUGAAGAGGAGAGAUGUAUGUACCAGAUGUUGUCCAAAAACCUGUUUGGAGAAGCAAUUUUGGGAAAUAUAGUAAUUCUAAAGCUAAAAGAGAAAAAACAAAGGAACCCACCAAAUGGAAAAGAAGACAAAGAAACAGAGAGAUGAAAGAAGAGAAAGACAAAAGUGAGUUAAUAUAAACCUCCAAGAAGAAGAAGAAGAAGAAGAAGAAGCAGAGCACUUUUCCCCCCCACUACACAAAACCUCAAAAUCUUAGGCGUGACAAAGCAAAGUGGGGUGCAUUAUCAUUCACACUUUGCACAUCACCAUCAUCCUCAUCUCUAUAUUCACCCACUUUUCUUUCCUUUUUUUUUCUUUUUUUUUUCUUUUUUUUCUUUUUUUGAUCUUUCUCUACACAAAGUCAACCCCACAAAUCCAUCAUCUAUAAUCCAAUUAAUCACAUAAACCCUUCCAUCACCCCUCAUCAUCACCCCCCUAAGAAUUUCUUUCUACUAAAUUCUAACUCCUACUUUCUCCGUUUCCUCUCUCACUUUCUCCGUUUUCACAUGUCUACUUCCACCAACCUCUUCUCCUUCCGGCGAGUCGUGAACGUUUGAAACACCAUGCUUCCGGCAGCCGGGAACUCGUCCACCGCGCAGCUCCGGCAUUUCAAUCCCAUCGGCUCAAGAGCGGUGGCCACGCGUGUCCACACUUCGUGGCUGGUGCAGGUGGUGGAAACGGACAUGGUUGCCGGCCGGAACACUUGCACCACCUUCUUCAGCACCUGGACGACGUCGUUUUGGUCGUCGUAGAUUGAGCCCACGCACUCGAAGCUGGCGUAGCUGUAGCCGUCCUCCGGGGUUACGUGGAUUGUGGAGUAACGGUCGCCGUCGAUCCCAUUCAUGGAGUACCCACAUGGGUCGAACGCGAAGUCGCAGAUGAGAGCGCCGGGAUUGAUGUCGCCGAUGCCCGUGAGCUCCGUCAUCUCCUUUCCGGCCACGUCGCCGGCCUUCCCAGCUCCGGGACGAAGGAAGAAUUUUCGAGCGAGGACGCGGUCGAGGUCGGUCAUGCAGACCUCUAGCGUGUACAACACAUCGGGCAUAUGCUGGAGCACCAUGUGAGGCUCGUCGCUUGCGGAGAAGACAUGCCAUGAAUGAGAAGACAUCUUGGAGGGCAUAACAGAAGCUUUUCUGUAGCAGAGAGUACUGGGCAAGCUCUGUUCCAAGUAGAUAACUUCAUCUCUAAAGCUAGUAUGGGGGAAGGGCUGCGCUUUGGGGAAGAUAAAGCUGCCUCUGGUGUACCUACACCCGCACAUAGCCAGACCCAGGUGGCGUCCAUGGUGGAGCAAUGGAGGGAUUGAUUUCAACAGCUGGGUGGUACCACAUGUCUUGAUAAUAAUCUUGGUGGGGUAGACAAACAGACUCGAUUCCGACAACACAUACGCGUCGAAGUAGUGGUUUCCCACCGCCGACACCACAGUGCAUUGCACAGCAUGCAGCACCUGCUCCAGCGACUCGAAAUCCAGGUGCCGGAGACCCAUUCCGACCACCGGGUCAUCACCGGAGAAGUGGAGCUCCAGGCGCUUCUCGAAGCCUUCGAAACCAGAGACAGCCAUUUCAAAGAUAAUUAAUGAAUACAAGACAAAGAUGAGAACAGAGCAGUAGUGGGUGGUGAUAGGUGAAAAGUGAGAAGGAGAUGAUAUACGAUAUAGAUAGGGAUGGUAUGGGGACUACAGGUGAGAGAGAGAAGUGGGAAGUGCAUGAGAUUUAUAGGAGGAGAGAGAGAGUGGAAGUGAGGGUGAGAGAAAGAGAGAGGAGAGAAGGGGCAUGCGGGUGAGGCAACCAAGAAUAAUGAUUGCAGGCAUAAUGAAGAAGAAGAUGAUAGCCUUCUUCUAUUUUUUCCAUAUUCCUUCAUUUUCUUUUUCUUUUUUCUUGGGCAAUCUCUCCUCAGACCGACACCAACAUCACAGCCCAAUUCAUGCCCACGCGCAAUUCCUCUCAAAUUUCCACUUUUUUCCCAAAUUCAUGAACAAUAAUUCUUACAUUUUUUACAUUCAGAAUCAAAAUUACAAAUUUCAGGUUCUUCCCAGUCGGUAUGGAUGAAAAAUACUUAGAUGAGCUAAUCAACUAGUCAAAAUCCAGUUCAAGUAUUGGACAUAUGAAAAAGUUGAGAGUUGUUCUCAUUUGAGAAAGAGAGAAAUUUUAGUCAAAAAGGUGGAUAAAAUUCAAAGGGGGUUCUUAGUUCUUACUUCUUAGUUCUUACUUCUUUCUUCUUUUGUUAGUCGACAUCUAGUCACUAAAAUAUUGUCAACCCUAGAUAGUUGAGAACUCUUACAAAGCAUUAGAAACAAAAACAAAAACAAAAACCCAUAAUAAUUAUUAUGAAGAUUGAGAUGUUUUCUACGCAUGACAAUAAUUAUUAGAGUUCGGGUUCUAGGGUGUUGUCAAGUAGAGACACAUGAUCUUAAAAAAGGGGGAAAACAGAGCACAAUAGAAUGGGAUGAGAUCUUAUUGAUAAAUGAGCAAGCACUUUCUCUGUUUUCUCUAUAUGCUCUGUUUGCUCUGUUUCUCAAAUCAUGGGCUCAUGGGGGUGUGUGUUGUAAAGGGUGAACACAGCUUCUUGAUGGGGACAUCAUUGUAUUUUCGCAUAUAAGAGAGAAUAAAGUAAUUGUGGAAAACAGUGUGUGUUUUCAAAAACAAGGAAAACAGAAACAAAAGGAAUCAGGCGUGGCUGCUAAAUAAUGAGAAUAUCCUUGAAUUAGGGGGAGGUCCGUACGUGAAAUUAAAGCUGCUCGCUCACAUCAUUUUUAUCCUCCCCCCAAAUUCAAAAAUAUGUGGGCAUUUCCAUCAUUUCCCUUUCUAUUUCUCAAACGCAGUGGAGAGUGGAGAGUGGAGAGUGUAGAAACAUUUUUGGGGAAAUAAUUAGUGAGGAGUUAAGAGACAGAGUUUAAUUCAAAACAGUUCUCAAAAUUGGUCAAACAAUAUAUGAUGAUUUCAAAGUGUAUGAUUGUGUCAAGUUUUUUCACCAACACAAUCUUCAAAUAAAGUUCAGACACUUGCUCUUCUAAAGUACCUAGAACUUAAGUUUGCACUCCAAGCUUAAAUUCCAAAGGGACAAACUCAAUUCUUUCUAGGGUUUUGCUUCUUUUUCAGUCCAAGGGGAAAGCAUAAUAUCAAUUUUUGAGGUCAUAAUUGGAUGGGUUUUCUUUCUUCUUUCUUUCUUUUUUGAUUGACCCAAUGCUAAGAAGGUGGUAAAAGAUGGGUCUAAGCACAUAAUUUAGUAGGUGAAUGAGGGUGAUUAUUUGCUAUAACCCUCAUUGUCUGAUAAAUUUGAGACUAAAAAAGGAUGCAUGGGGGAGAGGGGGAUUGGUAGAAGGGGGAAGAGAGGGUUNNNNNNNNNNNNNNNNNNNNNNNNNNNNNNNNNNNNNNNNNNNNNNNNNNNNNNNNNNNNNNNNNNNNNNNNNNNNNNNNNNNNNNNNNNNNNNNNNNNNGCAAUGAUGGGAAAUAGUUUUGGAGUUUAAGAAUGAAAAUGAGGGAGUUUAAUAGGGGUAGGAGCAAGAGAAUGAUUCAGAAUGUAAGCGUCAUGAAUAAUCAGAAGGUGGCUGGCAGCACCCAUUAUGACCACAUCCCACAUCUUGUGCCUGCACGCGCACCCACCAAACUCAAACACUAUCACAACCACGACACACCACACCACAAAUACCCACAUGGCAUCCAAACCCAAUCUCAAUCUCAAUCUCAAUCCAUCAAAUUUGGUCAACCACAAACCCCCCCUUAAAAACAGAUAUUUAUUAUAAUCAAACCUUACUUAAAAAGCCUCAACAAAAUCCCAUUCCCCACCUUUUACAUCAAAAGGUGUUACCUAAAUUCUUCCCCUCUUAUUAAUACCCCCAAUAGCCCAAAUUAUUUUGAGAACCACAUUCUCAUCUACCACCCGAAUCAUCAUCAUGCAGCCCUAAACCCCAUGAUUGGUCCCAGUGAUGGGGUUGGGGUUGUGCCUCCCCGACAACUUCCCUGUGGAGGCCCUACCUUGACACCACUUCAUCUUUGGUGUCCUACCUCCUUGGCACACCAGGUCCAUUGUGGGUCGAUUCCUUAUUUCAUUUAUAUAGACAUUCAGUCCCCACAUGGUCCUCCCCUGCACAACAUUUUCCUAUUUCUUGCACCCUAUACUUCUAUGCAACUUUAAGCCGCCAUACAUGCUUGCACGCGCGCAUUUUGGCAUUCCACACAUGUGCCAAAUAUGGGUUUUUUUUUCUAUACUUUUUUUUUUGGAGCACUAUGAGGCCAAGGCAUAGAAGCAAGGGAGGAAGCAGGGAGGCAGGCUUCCGUGAGUGCUACUGUACCAUGCGCACAAUGGCUGGAGCCCACCACUGUAGGAUGUGGGUGGGUGGUGAUCUCCUCCUAUAUUCUUCUAUUUGGUACAUCAUGCAUGUACAUCUCUGCCACUAUUCUUAUCAGGACUGAUCCAUAUUCUUGAUACUUCUUCUCUAAUGGAUAUGAUUAAUAAAAACAGGGAGGUUAUAAGCUAUGACAGGGGAGGGGAUUCCUAGAAGGAUAGGGUGAGGUUAAGGGGUUUAAGAAAUGAAAGCAGGAGUUUGGAGGGUGACCCCACGAGAAUGAUAACUCCAAGGUGCCUGAGCUUUCUUGAAAGAUUUUGAAGCAAACAAGACAUGUUAGGAGGUUUUAAGUGGCCAUAAUCUCAGGAUGCCCCCACAUACACACAAACACAUACCAAAUAUUCUCUCUCAUCUACACCCCCCUGCCACGGCCACACCAAAAAUCUCUCGAUGGGAUGAACCACACACGCCACAUCAUUCCUCGUGCUUACCAAGUCUCUCUCUCUCUCUCUCUCUCUCUUUCUGUGCUUCUAAUCCAAUCCGAAUCUCUCCAUUGAUCCACGCAAGCAUCAUUCUACUGUGUGACUCUCUCUCUCUCUCUCUCUCUACACACCCAACUGUCUCAUUCGCUCCUUCCUUUCACGUUACUUGCAAGUCUCUGGUCUCUCUAGCUUACUUUCUCCACAAUGAUUUUCUUCUUCCUUUUCUAACUCUACGCCCAUUGCCCAUACCCAUUACCCAUGACCCACCCCCAAAUCCAACACAUACAGCUUAUGGGCAGCAUUAAAUUAAGAAUUAAUGGCAUUCUCAUAUUUUUCUCAUUUCACGGGAUUUUCCCAUUUUAUUAACAUAUAUAACCAGUUAACCCCUCAAUCAGAGACCAAUAAUUAAAUGACAAACAGAUUGAGUUGAGGUUGAAGAACAGGACUUGCAGCAACAGCAACUACCAAUUACCCUAUGAGAUCAAAUGAUUAAGAAUGAGUAGCUAACAAUCUUUGAUCAAGGGCCUAGCAGCUCCAUGGUUUACUUUUUCCAAACAUAAUACAGUAUACUCAAUGAAAAGUUAUGUACGUCCAGAAGAACAUUUAGGAGACAGGUAUUGGGUGAAAAUGAUUUAGGAGGGUUAGAGAGAGAGAGAGAGUGGUAGUGCUGACAUAAAGAUGGUGUCAUGUUUCUGGUUCAAAGCUAGUAAAAUGGGCCAACUUGUUAGGAAACAAGUAUAUAUGGAAGUGAAAUUGUGGGGUGAGGGGGUAAAUGGCAGUGAGUGGGGUCAGGAAAAAGAGAGAGUUUCAAGAGAUUCAUCCAUGGCUCUUUUUGAAGCCCCUUGAUAAUGUCAGGAGGGGUCAGGCAUGGAUAUGUAAACAUGGAGGCCAUCAUGUUCCCUCUGCUCCAAACUCUCUGUCCUCUUCAAAAGUUGUAUUUAAUUUAUUAACCAGCUUUCUAUAUCCUGACUCAAACCCCAUUCACCACCCUCCACAGUCCACCACCCCCCACCUCCCACCCCACCUUUCUUUUAUAUUUGCAGAACACAAAAUCUCACUCAAAAUAAUGAAAAAGCUCUCCCUCUCUCUCUCACUGCUUUAACUAUUCCAAUGAGCCAGCAGAGGAAAGGGUGAUUAGGCUUUUUGAAGGGACCAAAAGAGAGGUAUUGUAUUGCCCACUUCUUGGAACUCUUAUGCAUGCCUUGUUUUUCCACUACUAGUGCUUAAAUGCAACAAACAAUAAUCUAAUGCCUAACCACAAAUGAUUACUCUACCCUCUGGGGAGGUGGGUUUCAACUUUGAACUUUGAAAACCAUAUUUUUCUCGGAAGCUGGAUUCUCUUGUGCCCCCCCUCCUCUGCUUGGCUUCCAAGAAAAUCCAUUUUUCCUUUUUUCUUUUUCCCUCUCUUGGCUCCUAGAAACUGUUACUUUGUUUUGCUGCCAAACACCCUCCGAUGGAACCCACCCACUGAUUUUCAUUAUGCUGUCUUGGCAGACAAGAAUCUAUUACUGGGCAAUUACAGAAUUGUUUACAAUGUCUGCAUAGGUGGAUAAUGAUAUCAGUAAAAGGAGUGUAUCCUAAUACAAAUUUAACAUAAUGAUUAUAGUGUUGAUAUGUUAUGAGUAAAGUAUGUGCUUAACAUGAGUGAAUAAUGCAUGUAUAUGGAUUUUAUUCUCAUCAAUGCUGCCUCUCAAAGUUUUCACAUUAAAUAUUUUAUAAGCCUCUAAAUUUUCAACAUAAAUUCCAUAUUCAUUCUCCUUCAAACACUUUUGAACACCAAGGUUUCCUCUUUGGUUGCUUAUAAUAGACAAGCAUGAGUAGAGUAAUUGGUAGCCUUCCCUUUUCAAAACCCAGGGGGAGUUCUCAUGCAAAUCAGAUACCAAAUCUCUGCUAUAAUUUUUAAGGCAAUUAAAUAUUUCUCCCAUGAGUAAAGUCUCAGCCUGACCCUACUCAAAUUUGGUCCUCGGCCAGCUCUGAGGCCAGGGUUUUUGUGUGUAAUAGGCUGAUAGGAGAUGGGCUGGCCUCUGGGAUUAAAAGCUGAGGCUCAUGGGCUGCACCCCAUUUAACAUGUUAUAUUAUUGAAAUAUUUGGUCGAAAUGGAUAAGAUAAAAUUCAUAUUUGAAAAAAUAAUUUUCAUGUAGUGAAAAUUACAAAUGUGACCUUAUUCUUAACAUUUUCACCUAAACUCUUUAUCAAAAAGUGUUUGAUUGGAGAUAGGAAUUAAAAAGUUGUUAAAAGGGUAUUUUUAUUCAAAAAAAAUUCAUUCUUUCUGCAUUUGCGUUUUCAAUAACAUUUAAUCAAGGGUUAAUUUCGUUGAUACUUGUUGAAGUAUAAUUUAAACACACUAAACUAUCGUUGGUUUCAAAUUUCGUCAAGUAACACCCCUAUAGAGUUUACUUUUUAGAGAAUUGUUAUACACGCCAACUUAAAAUAAUUCUAAAAUUAAAUUUUAUAAGCAAAAUAAAUGUAUAAUAUUCUAAUUGAAACUAAUGGUAGUCAAAUAUAUUUAUACUAUACCUCAGAGGUUUAAAUGAAAAUUAUUCAUCCUUUGAUUUCAUCGUAUUUCAUUAAUGGAUUUUGGAGGAUUUUGUGGAAAAACAAAUACUUUAGUGAUAGUGAUAUAAAUGAGUCUGAAAGACAUACUUGAAGUUUGAAACCACCUUGUUGAGGAUAAGAAAAGAGUAAGCGAUGAGAAUGAUUUUAUAAGCAUGGAGGGGAAAUUAAGGUAGCUAGGCAUGCCAUGAACACGUGUAUGCAUGGGCAUGCAAAAAUUGAUUGAAGCCAUCAACUUCACCAAUACCCCUAAAAUCAAUGAAGAUUAAAAAACCAAAGCUACAAGAUCAAGGAUUCCAUUCAAAAAUUCCAAAUAUGAAGGAAAGGAUGUAUAAUUGGUAGGGUAUUGAUAUUUGGAACUUGAAAGAAGGAAGUUUCCAAUUAAGUCAAAGAUGGAGCGCUGUUGUAUCUCUUCCUCACAAUCCAGACCAACCCGUCUCCUUCCACCAUCAAUCUUCAUCAACCUAUAUCCAACAACCCCUCAUCCCUCCACCUUCUCUUAACCUACCCUAAGCAAUGGCAGCCCUCCCCUUUCUCUUGUAAGCCUUCCUGACUCCGACCUAUUCCUCGGCAGGAUGGCCUUCUGGAGCUCCUCUAUGCUCCCACUCCUCGGCCUCCUGUCUCUCUUCUUCCUUCACCCCUUCUCUACCUCCUCCUCCGUCCAUGCCAUUCGUCUUGGUGCCGUAGUCCGUAGGCCCUCCCCGGACGUCCCCAUCUUCCGGGAAGCUCCUGCUUUCCGAAAUGGGGACGCCUGCGGUACCCGGGACGUUGACGGCAUUCAUGUCUCCAUGACCCUCGAUGCCAAUUAUCUUCGUGGUACCAUGGCUGCUGUGUUGUCCAUUUUGCAGCACUCCACUUGCCCGGAGAACUUGUCCUUCCACUUCCUUUCUGCUCAGCACGUGCCUGAGAUUGUUUCAACAAUCCAAGCUACCUUCCCUUAUCUCAACUUCAGAGUGUAUCGCUUUGAUUCCAACCGGGUUAGAGGGAAGAUCUCCAAGUCCAUUAGACGAGCUUUGGAUCAGCCUCUGAAUUAUGCCAGAAUUUAUCUUGCAGACAUACUUCCGGCCAAUGUAAGGCGGGUUAUAUACCUUGACUCGGACCUUGUAAUGGUGGACGACAUAUCCAACCUGUGGGGUGUGGAUUUGGGUGACAAGGUGGUGGCGGCACCGGAGUACUGUCACGCCAACUUCACCAAGUACUUCACCGAUGAGUUCUGGUCGAGCCCUGAAAUGGCGAAAACAUUUAAAGGGAGAAGUCCAUGCUACUUCAACACGGGAGUGAUGGUGGUAGAUGUGGAUAGAUGGAGAAAAGGGGGGUACACACAGAAAGUUGAGGAGUGGAUGGCAGUGCAGAAGCAGAACAGAAUAUACGACCUGGGCUCGUUGCCACCAUUUCUACUGGUACUUGCAGGGAACAUAAAAGCAGUAGAUCAUAGAUGGAACCAACAUGGGCUGGGUGGAGACAACUUGGAAGGGAAAUGCAGGAACCUCCAUCCAGGGCCCAUAAGCCUACUCCAUUGGAGUGGGAAGGGGAAGCCAUGGUUGAGGUUAGACUCCAGGAAACCAUGUGCAGUUGAUCAUCUCUGGGCUCCCUACGACCUCUACAGAUCCUCCAGAGUAUCACUGGAAGAAUGAGAGAGAGAGAAAGAGAGAUAGGCUGUAAGAAAAUUCAUUUCAGGGGAGAGAAACAAGUUAACAAACUAAGAGCUUGAGAGUUCAGAGAAGCAUGCAGUUUCAUUGGUGUGGAAUGAAAUUGUAGAAAUGGAGAAAGUCUUGCUCGGGCUUUUCUUCCAGAAGAGAAGGGAGGGUGGGUGGGCCGUGGGCUUUAUCCGCACUGAAAAUAUCAGGCUUAGGGCCUUUCAUGGCAUAAUGAAAGGAGGAUAAUUCAAACACGAUUUUCAAUUUUUCAUGCUGUUUUAUUUUGUUAUUCCUCUCAUUAGGUUGCUAUGAAUUGUAAACAAUGAUGAGAACCCAACAUGACCGUAUUUGUUUCUCUACAUUUAGGACUCCUUGUUUUCCUUUGUUUCCUUCUUCUGGAUGGAUUAGCAAUGCUAAUAUCCAUAAAAUCAUGCCUAAAAAAUGGGGAAAGAAAAAACAACAAUAAACACAAACAGAACUAAUCGUUUUAGGAUACAUAUCAACUUGCAAUAUAUUUUAACGUUCAUCUUACUCAUCUAAACAUGAAAAACUGAUUUUCAAAUUUUUUUUAAAACUUAAUCUAAUGCCAAAUAGGAUUAUACAUCUAUUUGUAUAUGGGGAGUUUAAUUCAAAUCAAUUCACACGUCCAACAAGAAGGGGGGGAGGGAAGCCCGAAUUCACAUAUGCCAUAACAGUAAUAGGAACGCAAACUUGUCAGGGAGGAUAAAUGGAACCAACCAUCAGCUUGCCUGAGUAAAUUUCAGCAGAUUAUUUCAGUUACAGUACUCACUUUGCUAGUAAUAUUGUCCCAAAACCAAAAAUGGAGCAGGAUGGGUCACAUGAACAAAACCAUUUUGGAAUCAUAAAAUGUCUGGAAGCAAUUUAACUUAAUUAUAAUAAAUCACACCAAGAUAUCAAAACCCAUCUUUGUAACUUCUUUCUGCUCUUAUUUGUAAAAUUGACGUCUGAACUCUUGGGGCUAUUUAUGCCUGGAGCAAUUACCAAGUCAAUGGACAAAGCAUGGCAAAGUUGACUACCCCAGCAAAUGAUUCUCACAACAAACCAGGGUUUAGUCCAUUAUACCGCCCAAGGCAUCUUUUCCCAUCAAAAUGUGUAUCUUUUUACACCCCUGACUUGCCAUCCGUCCUCUAUACUUUUACUGUUGCAGCAAAUGGGCAUUUCCCCAAUGUAUUCCACAAAAUGUAAUCCCCGGAAGUAACCUGUUACAAGUUACAACCAAACAUAAUAUUUAAUAUAUAAAUCCACAAAUAGUCUCAACAUACAAAAUUAAACAAUUAUUUAUGGCAAUUAACAGAAACAGCAGAAGACUCUUUAAGAACUUAGCUCCUGCUCUAUGAUGUGAUAACUCUAGAAAACCAGAGACAAAAGCUUAAUAAUACUAGAAACUUUUUAUAAGAAGAUAGCCCCACCUGACUUGAGAACUCCACUGGUGCUUUAACAGCCGGAUAGAUGCUUACCUGCAUACAGCAUAAAGAACAAUAAGUAUAUGAUUAGUGAAGGGGGCUGCGUUCAGAGGAAGCUCAUUGGGGUAUACAAUUCAAACUGCCCAUGUUGACAGGGAAACACCAAUUCAGAACUCUGACAUGCUACAGAGCAAAUAUUCAAGUAGUAGAAAAUGACAUGAAAAACAUACAAAAAUUCAAGUAGGAUUAAGGGGUGUCAAUUAUAAGCCCAGGUGAGCAGGUAUUCUGAUGGAAAAUCCAGCAAAUGAGUAUAAAGGCCAGAUAUUGUGGUGCUCUAUCAAUCUCUUAAGGAUUGGUCAUUGGGCAAAUCAAGAAGGGCUUCUACAAAGACAGUCAUAAAUCAAAAUAGAAAAGAUUCAUAAAAAACCAACCACUUUGGGAGAGAUACUGGCAUACACUGCCUAAGUGCAAUGGUGACAGAGACCAGGAAAUUAUUAGGUAGGAAUUUUAAAUUCUAACAAAUGAAAUAUUAAUUAAAGUAAAAAGAGAUGAUAGCAAAAUUAAGAAAGAAUAUCAAAAAAGUAAUAUCAAACAUCCUUAUCAAGCAUAUACAGCUCUAAAAAAGGAAAAUCCAGAACAAUCUGAUUUCAAAGGUAAUUGUCAAUGGCAAGCUAUGAAUCAAUAUAGCAAGACACUCCUUGCAUAUGUAGCCAUAUUCAAACCAAUUCAACUGCUGUACCCAUCUCCUUGUUACAUCAUGCGAACAGUUGAACUUGAGCAUGAGAUGAAAAUCACAGGUCAAUGGACUUACAGAUUUAGGAUCAAUAGACAUUCCAGACAAUGAUGCCCCCACAAUUUUGAAAGUCACCUGUAAUCAAGAAAUUGUCUGUCAUUAGUCAAACUUGCUUGAUUCUGAAAAGGCUGACUCUUAUAGUGUAUCAGAAAAACAUCAUACUAAACUAAGUGGUUCCAUGCAUUCAUGAUGCAUUUACUGAGAAGUACCAGUGCAUAUCAUUUAGCCAGUUACAUGCUCGAGCAAUUAUAGUGUUCUACAAUAAAAUUGCUUCCUACUCCAAAAUGUGUGCAUAGACAGGAACCAGACAUUACCAACAUCAGUACACUGGAAACUAUCAGAUAUAAGAUUAGUUCUUACUAAGCAGUAGCUUGAAAAUCCAUUAGGUUUCAUCAUAAUGUCUUUACAUAAACAAACCACUAUGAGCACCAUCAAAAUCCCACCAUAUAAGGAAACUCAACACAACUGAUCAUAUGUCAGAUUCACACGUUCCCAAACAAUGGCAUUACUAUAUUCACCUUCAUACAUGAAGGUAAAUAUAUUGAGGUUUUCUGAAAGCUAAAGAUUGAGAUGAGGCUAAAUCCAAGCUGCAGCAUCUGAUAAAGCCCAGGAAAGCAUAAAUAGAAUUUAUCAAGAAGACACCCAACAAGGUUCAUACUUAUCUCAUUUUCAUUUAGAAUAUGCCAUUUGAUGCAGAGAACAUUAACAACAAAGGGAACUGUUGUUUUUGUUAAUUCUUUCCAUUGCAAAUAUCAUAAUGAAUAUUGGGGUUUACUUAGCUUACUUUCAGUAGUUUCUAGUUAGAUUACUGUAGCACACUUUUUUCAUGCCAAUAUACAGAGUUGUAGUUCAUACUACUGCAGUGUGUAGUGUUCAUAUUAUCACUUUUGUUAAAAGUGAAACCUAUUGGUGAUAGGGAAAGUUGUUCCCAAUUCUCAACAUGCUUUUGCCAAAGCUUGGCAAAUCUUCAAUCCUGUUCUUAAGGCCACUUAUGCUAUAAACUUUAUAUUAAAGAGUUCCAAGAGAGGUGCAAAUGUGAAAAUUGGAUAAUGAGAAGCUUAUAUUAUGAAAGCUUCUAACUUUUUAUUUGGAGAAAAUAGGGUUCAAUAAAAAUGGAUUGCCUAGAUUUUUCCUUAGCUCCAAAGGCUUCACAAGGAGAUUUACUUUCAUCUUGUUUGUGUGCAUUAGUGAGAAAAACUAUACUCACCCUCACCUCAGGAGUUGUGGAGGGGUUUCUUUUACAACUGAAGGUGAACAUGAGAAAGAGGAUUAAGAUCUUGAAUAUGUUCUACGUUGAUGAUUCUCUGUUUCUUUGUAAAGCAAGUUUAGAGCAGCCACACUCGGAAAGAAAGUGAGCCGGGAGACCAAAGUCUUUCUCGGAGGAUGUUAUAUGGAAUCCAUGGGUUCCAACAAAAGUGAGUUUUUUUGCUUAAGAAGCAGGUUGGAAAGGAGUUUUAAUACAAACAAUUUAAAGAGGAGAGAAUGGACUUUGGUGAAUAGAUGUGUAAAGAUGAGAAGGAAUCUGGUGAGCACAUUCUCCUUCACUGUACCAAGGCAAGAAUUUUAUGGCAGCUAGUCUUUUCCUUGUUUGGAAUUGCAUGGGUGCUACAUUCAUCAAUUAAAACAACAUUACUAACUUUGCAAUUGGCAUGGACGUUUCAUUGGGAAGAAGAGGAAGAUAGCUUGAAAAGUCGCUCAUUUAUGUUUAUUUUAGACUAUUUAGAAAGAAAGAAAUAAGAGGGCAUUUGACAAUGUUGAGUUAUUAGAUCAAGAGCUUAAACACCUUUUCAUGUAUAUUCUUUUGGAGUGGGUCAAAGGUGGUUUAAAGGAUGGGUCUAUGUCUAUGGUAGAUUUUGCUGAUUGUUUAGAUAGCAAGUAAGAGGAGGGAUUGUUUUUGUUUUCUCUCUUCUUGUUCUUUGCCCUAUAGCACUCUUGUAUACAUCCUUAGUACUUUGUGCACCUUUUCUCGGUGUUGUUCAGUAUAUAUAUUUUUUUGAUAGGUAAAAUUGGUGCUGUUCAGUAUAUUACUUUGUUGACUAUAUUAUAUGUACAUAUAUAUAUAAGAUGUACCCUUCUAUUCAUCAAAGUGGUUUGGGUGGGAGGGUAUGUGGGUGGAUGGAUGUGUGUGGAGGAUCUUGCAGCCAUACCUAGGUCUAACAUGCAUUAGAUUCCUUCUACCCACUUGGGUUUGCUUCUAGGAUUUUCCUACAAAGUUGAAAAUAGAUUGGCAUUCAGUGGCGAAGCUUUUUGAGAAACAGUUGGCGUAGCAUAAAAAGCAAUAUUUGUUUAAGGGAGGUAGAAUUACUCUCAUCCAUAGCUCCUUUCAAGUUAGCAAUCUCUUUCAUAUCCAUCUCUUUCAAAGAGACUUUCUAUGGUCAGGAAGUAAGGAAGGCAGAGAUUUCCAUAUGAUAAAAAUAGUUCUCAAUAAAGCCAUGUGUGAAGAGUGUUUGUGGAGGUGUGCAGGUGUGGAUGGAAAUUGAAGAAAAAUUGUCAAGGAGAAGAGUUCACAGAGUUGAAAAUGGUUACAGGGAAGGAGGUUAGGUGUUCUAUUGUAAAACAUGUCUAGAAAGCAUACAGAAAAGGUUGGGAUUUUUUUAAGAUGUGAGUAGCAUUUCUGAGGGAAAUGGCUGGAAGGACCAAGUUCUAGCUGGAUGUGUGGCGUGGCAUAUGGUAUGGUGAGGAUGACCUUGAGAACAGAUUCCUCAUGUUUUACAUUUUGGCAGUUUGAUAGAGGACAUGCUAGUUCCUGAUUACCAGUGUUUGGAGUACAAGCUUGAGUGAUGAAACUUGAGAUUCCUCAAGAGUUUGAAAAACUGGCGGUUGGAGAAAGUGAAAUGGAGCAAUGAAACUUGAGAUUCCUUAAGGGUCCAAUGAUCCGAAGUUGGGGGACACAAGGAGUUCUUUAGCCUGCAUUUGUUAGCAGGUUAUGAGGAUGCAUUAAUUUGGAGACCCUCAAAAAAGGGUGGGCGUCUAAUAAUCACUUUCCCUAAUCUUCUGUUUAGAGCGCAUAUGUUCAUCCACAGAUUCCAAGGGUUUUACUUUUUACUUCUUUCUUUCCCAUUUUUUAUGUAUAUAAGUGGACCAGGGGGAAGCUACUUGGCAAAAGGUAUACUCACCAUGAGUCGUCUGAUGGACAGUGUUUGUGUGAUAGUGAAAUGGUGUUGCUGAACCAUAUUUAAUCUACAGUAAGGUGCUGAAAAUCCAGCAGGCCCUGGUUGUUCUCUUUGUAGUAGUUUCAUUGGUGAUAUCAUUCUAGUCAAAAACUCCAUUAUGGCUUAGCAUGGUAAUUUCAUAGGUAAGCAAAGGAGGUGGGAAAGAUAACUAUAUUGAGCCUCUUUUCCUAAAUAAGGCGUUGUUGGGAAAAUAAUACUGGAGAUUUGUGAGUGAAAGGAACCACCCCCUUUGGAAACAAGUUAUUGUAGAAAAGUAUGGGCAAGAAGAAGGGGGGUAUAUUAUUAAAGAAGUGAGAGAGGUGUAUGGUGUGGGUGUCUGGAAGACAAUCAGAGGCAAAUGGGAGGUGCUCAAGGAUAGAACAGAGUUCAGAGUUGGAGCUGGCAACAGGGUGAAGUUCUGGAUAGACUAGUGGUGUGGGGACACUGGUCUGGGAUUCAUUUCCAACGCUUUUUUCUAUAGCAUCCUCAAAAGAUGCUUGGGUGGCUGGCGUUUGGGAUGGUUGUAGCUAGAACCCUUGGUUUGUUAGACAGUUACAUGAUUAGGAGCUUGAGGUGGAUGUUUUUUUUAGGAGAUUAUAUGACUACUCCAUCAGGGUGGACUGUGAGGAUAUUAUGGUGUGGUUGGGGUCAAAACAUUACUGCUGAAAUACACGCUCCUUGAGUCACAUAAUUGUCGCUGGGGGAUUAUUAGAGAAGAGAGGGAUCGCCAGAUUUGGAUUUUUCAACAAGGUAGGUUUUGGUCAAGGAUUCUGCCCCAGCCUUGGUCUGCUUUUCUGUUUCUUUUUCUUUAGCCACAUUAGGCCAUUCUUUAUAGAUGUAUUGUCUACUAGGAUCUGCAUGCUGAAAGAUCAAGGUGAGCCUUAAUAAAUUAUAUAAUAGAGCAAAAAUUCCAGGCUUGAACAACCGAUCCAACAAAAAUGCAAGCAGAAGUCAAACUCAAGUUAUGGGUAGGAAAAAAUCAAGUGCUUUUGCCAACUCCACCUUAUCCUGAAAAACCGCGUUCCCCAUGCCACCAGCAACAACACCAACUCCAUUUCUAAGUGCCAAACUGCCACCACCUUUAUUGAACUCAACAUGUGAUUUGGCAAGUCAAGUUUUGCAAACUCUUACCUUUGUCAGAACAAUCACCCCUCCCAUGCCACUGCAACCAACUCAACUCCAUUCUGAGACCCAAGCCAUCGCUUUCUGUAUUAGGCACCAUCACCCACUCCUCUAGCACUUACCUACCUUCUUUGUCACCAUUUUUCCUAUUUAGAGCAACUAUUUCCAUGUCUGGGACUUCAUGAAGCCAUUAUCAACACUUAUGCUACUUGCACAGCAAUCACCAUCAGCAUAUUGAUAGUGCCACUGCUUCCUGAUUUAGAAUUACCACAUGGCAACCAUAACCAAAUCGACAAUCACCUCUUUUGACACCUUAAUUACACCACAACCACCUUCUAGUCUAGACUAUCACCACCAGCCCUAUAUCAAUCUAAAUCAAAGAAGAGUUUAACUGAUGCAAUUUAAUCCAGAUGAAUUCAAUUACCAGUGGAAGUUCAAUUCCAUGUAUCCAAACCAACCAUAAUUAUUAAUUUCAUUCGUCCCUGACCACUAUUUAUUUAUUUCCCUUUUUGCUUCUAGCUUCCCAUGAUACUAUUUGCAGAAAUUACAAAAGCUUCAACUUCAUCAUUUCAAUGCUAUGUGAAACUCCUCCUUCCCUCUCUUCAGAUCAGCAAAGACAAGUUAAACUCAUAGAUUCCUUCAAGCGCCUUGGAUAUGUAUAGAAUUUUAACUGUGAAACUCUAUGUUUGCUGCUGUUUUUUUAUCGUAUCCAAACCAACCAUAAUUAUUAAUUUCAUUCAUCUCUGACCACUAUUUAUUUAUUUCCCUCCUUGCUUCUAGCUUCCCAUGAUACUAUUUGCAGAAAUUACAAAAGAUUCAACUUCAACAUUUCAAUGCUAUGUGAAACUCCUUCUCUCUCUUCAGAUGAGCAAAGUCAAGUUAAACUUAUAGAUUCCUUCAAGAACCUUGGAUAUGUAUGGAAUUUUAACUGCGAAACUCUUCUAUGUUUGCUGCUGUUUUUUUAUCUCAUAGAACUCCAAUGUUUGUGUAUUCAUGCAACUAAAUGUGGAUAUCCAAUAAAGGUCUAGCUUUGGUUUCUGAAUAAAAUGGAAACAUGAGUAUAAACUUGAAAUAAGUGAUCUUGAUCCCCAUCAGUUUGCCUAUGAAAUGAAAUGAGGAUACGUACAUACAUACAUACAUACAUACAUACAUACAUGCAUGCAUAAAUACAUACAAAUUUUGCCUAUUAGUAACAGCACAAUAACAAGAUCAAAACAUGUCAAAAAAAAAAAACAUCAGGAGUUAUAAAUAAAUAAAUAAAUAAAAAAACACCCAAAAGAGAGACAUAAAAAAGAAAAACCAUAAAGAAGAUCUCUGCCAAAGGGUAAAUGAUAGUGAUUAGUGAGAAGGGGAGAGUGAAAGCACAUACUUUAGCAUAGUUGUAAGCCUGCCAGCAAAAUGGCUCCUCCAAAUCUGCUGGUGGAAGAUCCUUGCUCAUUUUCUCCAUUAGAAAUUCUUCAACAUUUACCAUAUUAUUAGUACUAUCUGUUUCAAAAUCACUAUCCUCAUCGGCUCCUAAGAAUGACCUAGAGGAAGGCAAUCUUUGGAUUUGCCAUGGUGCAAACUUAAUUGUUCCAGGAAAAGUUGCCUCAAUACUUCUCCCAGUGAGACCUCGUCCACCUGUUAUGAUUUUCCAUUCAACUAAGUGUUCUGUAGUUGAAACUGUUCCAAUAGAAGGAGUUCCAUCAAAAGAAACCACCCUUCGCCUCGGGAAAGGCAUUGUCACAGUACAAAACUCCAUUGUUAGAGGUGCUUUAUAACCUUCCAUCAAGCACAACUUGAAUAAAAAUGCACCUUCAUCUUCUGAGACCAUUGAAAGCUGGUAAAAUCCCUUUACUGGAGGUCCAAGGCCACAAAAUGCCUGAUAAUGCAUUAAAACAAAAUUACCUAAGGGGGGCGAAAACAUUACAGCCUGCUUAUCCACACCUUGUUCUGGAACUUGAGCACAAGGAUGGAAGGAUAAAACCUCAAUGCCAGCCUUGUUCAACCCUGUCAAGGGGAAUGACACAUCAGGCAAUCCUUCCAAUUCUGCACGACAAUUUACUUGACCAGAAAUUGAUAUGCUAUCUGGAAUCUCAUCCCGGUCAUACAUAGCAGCAUGAACUGUCUCAUGAAUAGUGAACAGCAUUCUCUGCUUUCCUUUGUAGAGAUAUGGCUUCCAUGCUGGUUGCUUGAGAUCUGGCAGAGGCAAAUCUGAGGAAGAAAAGCCAUUAACCUUAAUAGCAAAAAUAUUGGAGUAGCUGAGAUCCAAGGGAGUGCCUGUAUAUAAGAAAAACAGGCCCAUAAGAAAUAAAGACGACAUCAGGUAGCCGCAAGUUGAUCCACAAGAAAACAUAAGGGAAACCUGAGAUGAGAAAUACCAUAAUAAAAAGUACCAACCAAAGGGCAUUGAGCUAUUUAUGAAAGUUCGAAGUGCAUCUUUGUCUAGGGGCCUUGAACCAAACUUUGGAGCAUCUGAUGUAACAGCUCCAAUCACAGCAGUGCUGGAAGUAGUGGAAGCUGCAACUGGUGCAGCUACAGGUUUGGUUCUUGUAGAGAUGCCCGAUAUCCCUAUACUGCCAGUUAGUGAAUCCAGCAAUCCUCCUACAGAGGGAGACGCACUUACAACUACCUCUGGUUCUACAACAUCUCCAGUGAUUACAUCACCAAUAGCAUGUGCAACCAUACAUGCCCUGUAAAAUGGAAAAUAUAAACAGAUUUAUGUCCAUCCACAUCUAUCACUUGACACAGAAAAAGUCAAACCUAUAUCAAACUAAACCAUUCACUGAAUGAAAUGAGAUGAGAUCUCGUCAUUAAACGAGUUAUGAGAUAUUUUCAGCGAGAAGAAAGAGAAAUAUAGAAGAAGCAAUCACAUUUCAUCAGAUUCAGAGAAAAACUAGCACAUAUUCAAGGAAAAUGUAGGAUUACAUAAAAAGAGAUAAGUGUUCAAAGACAAUGCACCACAGAAUUUAACAAUCCCACCAUAUAUUACAAGUGUUCUUGAAUUGAGGGGGAAAAAAGGAAGAAGAAGAAAAGAAAAGAAAAGAAAAGAAUUCCUUGCCCAAAGCACCAUUUUGGCUACAAUAGCUUUUCUUGUAAGUUUUUUUUUAACAGAAGGGGGAAAAAGGGGAGGCUUCCAGUCCCACAACCAUCAUUGUUGAGUCCCAUAGUUUUUAAAUGUCUAACUCUCAAUAAAACCAUUAACAAAGAUUACAAACCAAAUGAAGCCAUUUUCCUAAAUAAAAAAAAAAAAAAAAGGGGGGGGGGGGGAGGGGAGGGGGUUUUUUCCUUUACUUUAAAUAUACAUAUUCAAAUUGUUAUUUUUUACUAUCUAAUUCUUUAUAUACUAAAAAUUAUAACAAAUAAUAAAUAUUAUNNNNNNNNNNNNNNNNNNNNNNNNNNNNNNNNNNNNNNNNNNNNNNNNNNNNNNNNNNNNNNNNNNNNNNNNNNNNNNNNNNNNNNNNNNNNNNNNNNNNAAAAAAAAAAAAAAAAAGGGGGGGGGGGGGAGGGGAGGGGGGGUGGGGUUUGGGGUUGAAGUUCCUAGGUUCCUAGAACAGAGGGGAACAAAUAAAAGUAAAAAUAAAUAAUACAUAAACAGACAAAAUAUGGAGAACUCUCUAAUGCAAAAAGUACAAAUAAUCGAAGUCUAAGAAUUGAUUAUACAACUGCUUUCUGGAUGUCAAAUUGAUACCAUUGAAAUCAAAAGGAAGAAAGCAAAGCACCCCCUGGGGUAUAGCUCAGGGGUAAUGCCCUUCAGCAAUGAACCAAAGGUCUUGAAUUCAAGUCUCCCUGGUAUUUAUGUGGUGUAGGAUAGAGGGGUGGGCCCAAAUCACCUGAGGUUUCCUUCGGAUAAAUGCAUUGCUAUCAGGGUUGAUUCCCCAUUUUCACCCAAAAAAAACAAAAAAAUAACAGAAAUCCUAGAAAAUAUUGUAAUCUAAGCAGCAAAAUAUCACUCGUUUCACCAUGCAUCUUUGUAAUAGCUCACAAAUUAAUCUCAGGAAAGAAAAGAAGAAGAAGCAAGUAGCAGUAUUCAUAAAGAGAAGGCACCAAAUCUGCUGGAAACUGAAGAUGAUUUUCUUUUUCACAUCCAAUAUUAAGUAUCAAUAGACAAAAUUGAAAGAAUAUUAUUCUAUUAUACUUAAUGUGUCAUGCUCCCGGCUCAAAGUACACCAAAGAAAAAGCUCCAUAUACAGAUAUAAUCCAAAAACUCUGAGAGGAAUAUCAUGCAAAAUUACUUGUCACCUUCCAGAUAAACAAAAAAUUAGAAGUUCAAAUGAAACACUCUUUUAUGAUGCCACACAAGUUAAACCCACAGACAAUGACAAAUAGCAUUGAUUAUAUAAAAGAUCCAAAUUCCGUUUGAUGCCAGAAAAAGGUAAAUUUUUUAAUCAAGUCUAGAUGUAGAGUAUCCAUAGAAGAUGAAUUUUAACAGGAAUAGAAAGGGUGAUGAACAGUGUUGAAAGAGAACUGUUUUAUCAUAAUAUGCUUGCUCAACAACACUGCAAGUAACUUACCAUACCCUGUGAUGGAUGGAAGGUCAAACAGGAGAGAUGAUAAGCUUCCAGGCACUCCAAUGGCAUUUCCACAAUCAGAUCUUCUACAUACUCCUGCAUAUGCUUUUAAAUGUUGGGGUUCAACUAAAGGCAAUACAAGGAUGCAAUAAUGGCCUUUCAUAUGCAAAAUUAAUGGCCAUAACAUAUUAUUCUCUCGUUCCUCAUCUUUGUUAAUAAAAAGGCUUAUUAUAUGACGUGUAAUUGGAUCAUCAACCCAGGAAUCUGAUCCUUCUGCUGACUGAGUUACACGUAUGCCAAACCCACGCGCUGAUCCCUCCCUACACAUACAAGCAAAGUUGCAAUAAAGACCAUUAAAAAGAAUGGGAAGGGUAUACCGCAUUAAAGGACAAGAAAGUUACCACAAUUAAAAUAAGAUCAUUUUAAAUAACUUGUAACAUAUCAGCAUAGAGUAUUAGCCACUAAACUAGGAUUAUGUCAUAUAACUGUCAAAUUGACAAUAAACACAAAGCUUAAUCAGUAUGACCAUCAAACCACAGCUUCGUAAAACCAAAUACAACCACCAACCAGAUAGUUGUUAGAACAAGAUCCAACAGGUCUCAUCCCAAACAUUACAAGUUAAACGAAGGAUGGUACAUCAAGGUUUGAGAUUAUACACCUGACAAAUCAACCUCUAUGCACUGAUGUCGGAUUUCGGAGGGGCCAGUUGAUGUAGCAGUGGAUUGCUAGAACCUUGAUCAACCCAUUGACAGGUAGGAUGAUGACGAUGGAUCUUCAAAAUUUACUCAAGAAAGGAAUGAAAGAAUAAAGAAAGCCUAAUUUACUUCAUCAAGGGUAUGUAGGUAAUUCUUAGUUUUUCAGUGGUUAUAAUUAGUUAGUAAUUGAUAGUAGAGUUUUACUUAAAAUUUGAGAAGUUUUAGAGUUCCUAUUUUCAAUCCUUAUAAUUUUUCUUUAUUGUAAAAAGUUUCCAUAAAAUAAGUUUCUAAUUCUAAAAAGAAAGUUCCAAUUUUCUUUUCAUAUUUUUUAGGAGAUUUAUUAGCUUUAGAAAAGAAAUAAAAAUCAUAAUAAGUUACUACAUAUGUUUGGUUUACGUUUCAUUAUUUUAGUCAAUUCUUAGGGUUUUCUAAAACUUUUUUUUUUUUUAUAACCAUGGAUGUCCGGGCCAGCUUACACGCACCUCAACUAAUCCCACGGGGCCCUGAAGUUAACAACCGGGCAAACCUCCAGUGGCCCUGAAGGGACUCAAACUGGUGACCAUUAGGGAGCAAACCCAAGGCCGGACCAACUGAGCUACCCCUCAGGGUUUAGGGUUUUCUAAAACUUAUAACUGAGACUAAUUCAUUUAAAAAGGAUUAAGGAUCAAUGAUCAAUCCUAUUAAGUCCUUUUUGCAUACCUUACAAUUCUCAAUAGUGAGACUCUAUUGUUUUUCCUCUAGGUGAGACUCUUCGAAAGCCAUAGCAAGACCUUAAAGUUGUUUUGUGAUAAUAGUUUUUAGAAAUAAAAUUGUGUUUAGAAAGUUAAGAAAAACAGUUUCUUCAACUUAUUAUCCAUGAAGGUAUAGUUCACUUUUGUAUGCUACAAAAGUUCCUUAAGAAUUCUUCAUAUUUUCAAUUGUUUCUCAAAAUACCCUACAAAAAAAAAAACAAAAAACAUGAAAACAUCUUAAAUUUGUCCUAAAAAAUAACAUAUUUUCAUAACAAAUUCUCUAAAAUCUAUUGCAAUCAAAAAUUUGUCAAAUGUGUUUUUUAACUUAGAAAACUUUUUUCUAUUCUUUAGGACAAAAAACUAUUUUUCAAAAACAAUUCUCAAAUAGGCUCUAAGGUUUCUAUCUUUUCUUUUUUUAUCUUUCUUUUUUCUACACUUUAUUUUACUUUUUCCAACUAUCAAAACUUUUAUUCCUCAUUCCUUUCCUUAAACCCUAAAUGAUUUAAGUCCUAGACCACCUAUUUGAUUGUAGACAACCAUCCUAAGGUUGUCCUACAUCAUAGCAACUUACUCAAUUUGGCAUUUUAAACUCAAUAAGAGGUAAACUAAGACAACAUUGUAAUUGAGUCAAACUAGGACAUUUCUUAAAGCAACAAUCAAUUGAUGAAAUGCAGUAUUGCAAUUACCUAUUGAAUUUAAUAUCAAUGCCAGCAUAUGCAGAGACAUUUUUCAAAGUCCAUCAUCCCACCUAACUGUGUUAGGGCACCAUGUGGUUUAACGUCGUCCUCAAUGGCCAUAUACAAAGUCAACCAUGCACCAUGCGUUAUGGUGGUUUUAGAUACCCAUCUAAAGAGACAGGAACAAGAAUAAUGACUCACAAAUUUUCAUUUCAAACACUUGGGCUAGGUUAACUGAUUACAAUACCAAAGGAUAAAAAUUGUGAAAAGCUGAUCAACAGCAUCUUAGUAGGAGAUGGAAGAAAAAAAAUUUCAUUUUCAUCUUGCAAGCUUGAUUUGCUUGUGCAUGAUGACAAAAGAUAAUAAGCUUCCUAGAACUAAUAGCAUGAAAAUGAAAAAUCAUCAAAAAAGAAAUGAUGAGUCCUACAAAGAGUAAGUGGUAUGUUUAAUUAAGAGAGAUCAUUGAUGGAGAAUCUAAACUUUAAGUUACUCCCGCAUCGACAUUUACUAUGGUGUCAUUUGGAUACACCUUUUUUUUAAAUAGAAAAUAGUCAUAACUCCUUUAUAAAAUGAAAGAACUCUUGCACAAAAUUUGAAAACUUACCUUCUGUUCCUAAAAACUGCUAUUAAGAUUUUUAAAAUUUAAGGUGGUACAAAUUUUUUAAUACUUAUAUUUUUUAAAACAAUUUUUAAAAACUAUAAUCUGUCUCAAUUAUUUGUAUAAAAGUUCCUAUAAUUUAUAUAGGAAAUACUACUAUUUUCUGUUAUUAAAAUAAAAAAAUAGAAAAUGCAUUUAAACAACAUGUAUGGGCAUCCAUGGAUGAUGUCCCAUGAAAAUGAAUUCGUGCAUUAAUGUCUACUUCUCUGUCCAUUACAUGAAGUAGUGGGCAUCAUCUCAAAAUAAUGUCAUUUGAAGCACUUCCAUUUCAUGAAAUCUGAGAACCAAUCCAUACCAUUAGUUCUGGUGACAGCGCUCAUCUUCCAUAAUAGGCCCACCAUUGAAACAAAUUUGAAAAACCAAUAAGCAUGAAAGGAGUAACAAUAGGAAUCAACAUAUCUUAGAUAGAAAUGCAAACUUAUGAUAAUACAGGCCUGUAAGCUAUAUCAAGCUAGAACUAAGGUUAUGAAAUAAACUUUGUAAACUCACCGCUUCUUUCUCUCCACAAAAGCAGCAGCCAGCUCUGAAUCAGUUGGAAGUAAAGGGUAUACAGUGUAAUUAAGAUUAUCGUUGCUCGAGUUUUCAUUCUCAGCCUUGCAAGCAGUGCGCCAUUGCCUCUCAACCACUGGAAACCUCCUAAUCAUUAACAAAAAUUGACGUGAAAAUCAUGCAUCUCAGACAAACUCAUUAGGGUGCUGGUAAAAUGUAGGAAAUAGGAUAAACCAAGUUUCAAAUCUCAGAUUUCCCCUUAUAAUAGGGCCCAGGAAACAUAAACCUCCAUCGAACUCGGCCAAAUGCAAGUACUUGAGUUGGCUUAAGAGGUUUUACUUUUCCCAUUUCUUUGAGAUCAGAACAAAAUAAAUCGUAUAAUUGAAUUAUGUUCAUUUCUUCUAUCGUCCUCGGUUGGGAGAGAGAGAAUUCUACUAAUCAAGGAUUGUCAACAUCCAAGAGUAGAAAACGAAGAAGAUCUGAAGUCCUAAAAUAAUGAGCACUCGAAUCUUAAUCUCUAUUCAUCGGGAUCUUUUAUUCCACAGGACAGAGCCAAAUGCAACUUCUUUUUUGAACAUAACAUAUCCAAUAUUUUUAUUUUCUUUGCACGAAAGGUAGGAGAUCGAAACAGAGAGGGAAAACCCUAGAAAGCUCCGAAGUAUAAAGCAGUCAAUACGGAGUUUGGUGGAAAACCUGGAGAAGACGACGGAGUCGAAAUUGUUAAGAAUCCAGAGAGCUCUGAUGCUACAACCUGCCAUGGAUAUCUGCGGGAGUGUUGACGAGAUUGGAGAUCGGAGAUUUGGAGAAUAGAGGAAAAUGAAAUGAAGCCAGCAUCAACAGAGAGGCAUGGGCGGUGGUUUCCCGAAAGAGGUAUAAAACGCACCGUUUUUGUCACUUAACCUAAACGACACCGUUCCAGGAGGAUAAAUGCAAGGGAGGCUCUUUCGGUAGGCCCAAAAGAAAACAAAAAACCACCGUUUUCUUCUUCUUCACACCCAAAGGCAUAAUUUAAAUGUCAUCAUUAGCAAAUACGCUCUUAGUUUAUGAUAAAAAUUACACAUUUUUUCUUCCAUUUUAUUUUCUUAAGAUCCAAACAGGGCCUUAAAAGGACCAAGAUUUUCCUUUCUCGAGUGGCAGAUUGGUUUCCUUGAAAAGGAGAUGGAAUAAAGUAACAUGAAGUCUUUAUUUAACGACAUUUUGUGUACAGAGGAUUACACCUACACUCAACAAAAGAAAAAAAGGGAAGGGAUAACUAACAAGAUUAGGAUACAACAUAUUUCAGCUUUGAUCCUGGGUUUGGUGUGUUGAGCUAAAUAGUAAAUACUAAAAGUCAGUGCGGGAUUGAAAGGUCCACACAUAUGUAGGAGAUGACUGAGCCUGCCCUUCGUCUAGUUCUCUCGCUCACUUUCGACUUCUCGACCAGGACCUUCUUUAUGUUCGGGCAGGUUGAGACGACGGUGGCAACUCCGGCUGUGGUUAUGCCUGGGCAAUAAACCAUGUGGCAGGUCUCAAGCAUGGUGCAUUUUUUUACAAGAUGGGCUAGUCCCACGUCGGUUAUUUGACGACAGUGUGAUAGCACUAUGUCCUUCAGUGAUGGGCAACCUUCUCCUAUCUCGGCCAUUGCCAUGUCUCCCAAAUUCUGCUAAAGAGGGAAAAUAGAUCAAACGAGUAAGCUCAAGAUGCACUGCAAGAGAACUCAAAUCUUAACAAGCCAAACAAUUAAAAUCAAAUUAUAUUGAUCAUUUAAACUAACAUUUGUUAUAUUAUCUGUGAGAUGACGGUGAUGUUUUAAGAUUCUAUCCCACCACGCAAAAUAGAAGUGACGUGUAUGUUGAUAAUUACUCGACACCUCGUUACACUACCAUGCAUCAAAGGCAAGUAAUAAAAGACUAUUGAGGCUUGCCGUUUGCUAAGCAGCAAUAAGCGAGAUAAGUUAGUUUCCACUUGUUCUUCGAGCAUAAUUUCUCGUGUUUCUCAACGCUUUUAUCAGCAGAUUUGGUAUUACCUUGAAAGAGGCAUGUUUCAGAAGUUUUCAGACCUAAGAUUGGCUAAAAACUGAGUUACAAGAGAAAAUGAUUUUGAUGAAGUUUUGAGACCUUCAAAUAGGGAUUCAAGGAUUUAUGGACAUGUUUCUAUUUUCAUGAUUUCCAUAAAGAAAUUACAGCUGAAGUUCGAAGGAAAAAUAGGAAAUCAGUUGCUCUGAAUCAAAUAAUACAAGUGAAAAUAUGUACAAAAGAGGUCCAGAAGUUCCUUUUAUGGAUUUUUCUUUUAUUAUUUUAGGCAGAGUUGCGGGUUAGUAGGGUGAAGACAAUAUCAGACCCUAACAGGGAUCCAAGCAUCCAGAUCAAUGCCAAUAGGCUUUAGCAUCUUGAAAUACAUCUACAGAAAUCCUUCUGUUGCUAAAAGUUCCAUUUUUUUUAGACAACAGACCAGCAGGUUAGCAAGGUGAGGACAGUGUGCAGCCCCCAAGGGGCACAGACACAUGGAUCCAGAUCAAUGCCAAUAGGCUUUGGCAUCUUUACACACAAGAAACAGAGAAAGAGAGAGAGCAUACCUGAAGAACGCUUACAUCUAGGUAACUGAGUUCUGGGCAGCCUCUUGCAAUGGCUAUUAUUCCAGCAUCACCAAUUUGGUGACAACCACUGACAUUUAGAUGAUUUAGGGAGCAACCCUGACCAAUAGCAAUAAGGGCAUCAUCUCCAACCCUGGUGAUCAAUAGUAAUGAACAAGAUCAGGAAGAAUAAUUCAGAUAAGACGUCCAAUAACACAAUGAAGAUGGCAUCAUCCCUUUGCCAAUUGUGUGUAACUUUGCUCACAAAGCGUCUAACAGAAAAGGCAAAAACAAGCACCAUGUUUUUUUUCCAUUAUGGGGCUUCCAACUUGGACGAAAUAUACAGAAAAACAUAAAACAGACAUAUUACAAAAGAAAGUGCCAGGUUUUUUUCAUAGUUGCCUCAUGACACAUCAUAAUGAACCCCUUUUAAGCUUGAAGAGGUUGAGUUUUGAACUCUUAAAGUUCAUCCUAGUCUAAGGAUCAGUAUCCAGCGUACUAAAUUACUAAUCAAUAUUUGGCUGUGCGAUAACCUGCACUUCCACAUCAUUAAUGGCACCAUAAACUACAUAUACGGCUCACCACAUCUUCCCAUAUGACAAACAAGCAAAGAGGAAGAGCAAGGAGAAUUUUCAUUCAACUUCUGAACAUAAAGAACAUAUGAAAUUUGAUGGUGCCAUAAUUUGCAUAUUAUAACCACAAGCAAAAGCACAAAAGCAUUAUAAACCUCUAAGAAAAUGAGACCAUAAGAGAGAACUGGAAGAAACUGCAUAUUAGAUUGUACUUUAUCCAGUAGCAGAGUUCCUCAGUUAAAAGGAUCCAAAAAAAGGGUAAAGAAGCAUGAAAUUUUUGAGAGAAGGAAGGACAAAGCUGAUCAGAAGUUUUUACCUAUCACAAAAUCGAAGGCUAAGAUCUUUGAGUGAUUUACAAUUCUCACCAACAGCUACAAUUCCCUUAUUCCCAAUCUAUAUGACAAAAAACAAACAUGAGAUAAUCUCUAAAACAAGAUGUAUUUACCGAAUGUUAAAAGCAAAUAUUACUUCUGUCAAAUGUAAAUAUGAGUUCCGCUAAGCAUUUUAAUCAUAAAAUAUGUAACUAUUGUAUGAAUAGUUUCAAGUAAAGAGAAGGCUCCAAAUAAAAACCAAUAAUUGCAACCUAUGUUAUAUGGGUGUUAGGUGCAGGUGUGUCUAGGUGUCUAAUUCUUCACAUCUCAAAUUUUAGGAUACAAUAAUUUGGGUGAAAAUGAAUUGUAGUAGAACAAUCUUACUAAAUGUGCAAAAUGAAUGAAAAGAAUAAUUUAACACUAUAACAGUACCUAUCAAAAAAUAAUAAUAAUUUAACACUAUAACAAUAGAAUCAUGACAAGAUCAUCAGUAACCCAUUUGGCAGGAGAAAGUAAGAACUAAUAGAACUAGAUGAAGAAAAAAACCUCAUAACAGCGGCGAAUGUGAAGUUUUUUCAAGUUUCUGCAGCCAUUAGCUAUACCACAUAUGGCAUCGUCUCCAAUACUCGAACAAUCCACCAAGUGAAGAGCUUGCAAGAAUUUGCAGCCCCUGCCUAUUUCAAGAAGUGCAUUAUCACCGAUUCUUUGGCAAUACAGCAGAGCUAACUCAGUCAGGCGCCUGCAAUUCAUAACAAAGAGCCAUAAAUUAGCAUCAUUACAGAAGAUCAAAAUAUGGAGACCUCCAGAUUAAAAACCAGUGUAAAAAAAAUGGAUAUAUUUAGCCACCCGCCAAUAAUAAAUUUUAUAAACAGCAAUACAGCUUGAUGCAAUAAACAUAUAAACACAAUAAUAAAUUUUAUAUUAAUCAGGAGCAGAUUAUAACACCAAUGGUUUCACUAUUGUAGAGUUGAUUUAUUCUUACGAUAUGAUGCAUUUAAAAGAACAUUUUAAAAGAUGUAAAAUCAUCAUGAAAAGCAAUAUUAAUAUGUAGCAGAAAGGAAAGCUCACAAAGCCUCAAAGGGAGAUGUUAAAUAGAACUUCAAAAAAGGACUUUCAGUUAAUACAUCCAUAUUGUUACCACUAAUGACACUUAACAAGAUUAAGCCAGUGAAAGAGAUACAUACAAGCAAGAUUUUCCAACAGACGCUAGUCCAAGUGUUCCAAUAUUGUGACAUCCAUUAACUUCAAGAUGUAUAAGUUCAGAACAACCAGUUGCAAUUGCCUCCAAACCCUUGUCACUCAAGAAAUAACAGUCACUUAGAAUAAGAUUCUUUAACUUCUUACACCCUUUUCCAAUAGCUGAUAGACUCCUGAAAAUUUAUUGUACAAAUGUUCAGAACAUGAGCAUCAAGAAAAUGUUUAGCCACGUCACAAUUAGCAGAAUUAAUCACAGAAAAUAGGAAGACUUAAACCUUAUCAUUUUUAAGAGACAAAUCAGUGAAAUACAAAAAGGUACAAUGAGGCAGAGGAAGAGAUUCAUCGAAAGAUAAUCCAAUGGCACUUCCAAAACUAGCUUAAAAACUGAAUGACUUUUACCGAACCUCAAUCUGUGAUCAUUUAACCUGAAGACCAGAUACGAUAAUGUUUUAAGCACAACCUAAGUCAUCUCAUGUUUUCAUGAAAAUUCAUAACAAAAGAAAGACAAGAAACAAAUAUUAAUAGAAAAAUAAUUGUACGUGCUUGUAAGCCUUGAAUGUCUUCAUGUGGUUGACAGCACAAACGAACAAAUCAGUCAAUAACGGGCAUUUAAUUGCACAAUAAACUUAAUAAACUUGUAAAAAAAAAUAAACGGCUGGUUUUAGUUGACAUUUCAGGUGAUUUACUUUAAUUAGGGCAACUAUGGACGAAAAAAAAUCUAAAAAUAAAUAAAAAAUAAACAAAAUCCAUGAGAAUUAACUGACCUGUCGGUGAAUUUCUGGAAGCUGUACAGAGCCAACACUUCCAGUGAUAAACAACAGGUGCCAACAGCUUCCAAAGCUUCGUCUGUCACAUUAAUGCAUAGUAGUUUCAGAACUUUCAAAAGACGGCAACCUUCCGCCACAGCAAGCACCCCUUCAUUGUGUAUGAAUUCUGAAUCCAAUGACAACGUCUCAAGAGAUCUGCAGUGAGACCCCACUGCUUCCAAUGAGAUAUCAGUUAUUUUUGCACAAGCUGCAAUACCAAGAACUUUCAGUGAUUUCCCACAACCAAUUGCUAAUUCAACCAAACCCUUGUCCGUCAAGCCUUCACAAAAACGCAAAUUCAAAUCUUGAAGUUCCUUGCAACACUCCCCAACAGCAGCUAGACCUUGAUCUCCAACAUAGCAACCCUAAAAAAAGUAACAACAAAAGAGAGGGCAUCAAUUACCGCACGUGACACAGCAUGCAUGAUAAGCUAGAGAUGGAAAAAGGAUGUGAAAAGAAAGUAGUAGACCUGCAACUGCAGUAGACAAUCCAUUCCAUAUGGAUCAUGCAGUAUCAAAAUCCCAGAAAGAACAAAUGAUUUAUCCAAUAAAAUUAAAGACAUUUCCAAGAUUGUCGUCAUUACAGGUACAUUAGCCUUAAAACAACCAUCAUAAACCAUGGAAAGGGUAAGAAUUUGCAGUCCUCAGUAAGGAACUUUAAAGCAUAAUUGUCACAUUAGAGCCCCAUAUCAAGCUCAAAUUAUCGUUGACAUUUGAGUCCAAAUGUUACUGAAGGGAUAGUAAAGCAAGAUUUCAAACUACAUUAACUAGGUUUAGAAAGAGAAUGUAGGAAUAACAAAUGAUACAUCACAAUAGUGGAAAUAAGACUUUAAAUAUUAAACCCAGUUUAAAUGAGCUCACGUCAAUCAAGAAGUCGGUUAAAUAUGUGGCUUAAUAUGAUAUCUCAUCAUUAAUAUCUAAAGAAAGCCUUAAGUUGAUGAGUAUAGAUUCACCUGCAAAUCUAAAGAUCUCAAGGAUCUACACUUCCCGGCAAAGGAUUGCAAGCCCAUACUAGUUACAUUAGAGCACCAUAUUAAACUCAGCUUCUUAAGUUUGGUAAAGGCUUCACCAAGAGCAAUCAAUCCAGCAUCUGAAAAACAGUUUGAUUCCAACUCACUGUCAUCAGAUUCACCUCUCUCAAUCAUAUAGUGCAGGUUAAGAGAAGAGAGUGUUGAUUGGCUGCCACCCCGUCUUCUUCCCUACAUAAUAAAUUUGAAAAGAAAAAUGUAUCAAAUUCUUAACAAUUGAAUCAAUCAAAUAGUAGAUCAUUGUCCAAAAUUCUUUCAUGAGGAAACACCAGAGAAAUUAGACUAAAAUAUGUGCAAAUAUGUAAUGGGGCUAUCCACUUGCAACUGAAAAUGGGAGUUAUAAGGAAUGGUUACCAUCAUUGUGAGCAAAACCUAAUAGUUAGUGUAUGCAAACCAAAAAACGAGAGGGUGUCAUUGCAUGGUAACAGACGGAGAAUUUCAAAUCAAACGUAUAAAAUUCAAAAUUCUAACCGUUUUUAUUGCCCUGCAUUUUACGCAAACAAAAUGGAUCAUCUAAGUCCUUAUACUGCAAAGCAAUUUUAAUUUUUUUUCCACCUCCCGAAUUUUCUUGGCACCCAAAUGACAUCCAUCUCCGUACACCACGACGAAUUAAAAACAAAACAUUACCCUUUCCCCAUAACUAUAAUUUCCCUUUUCUUUCGCACAUUUUCCCAGCCACUAAACGGACCAUACAAGUCCUCACACCGCGUACCAAAUUCACAAGACGGUAAACGCCCUUCCUCCGUAACUUAAAUCCAAUAUCUCCACCCUAAAAAACAUGAAACCCUAACAUCCCAGACACAACUAAACUUACCAACUGAACCGGAUGCGAGACUGAGAGCCUCUCGUCAACGUAAAGAUUCUUGACAUUGACAAACCGCCUCGCCAGCAGCUUGACGAACGAAUCAGGGCUGCCGGACGCGCCGAUGCGGAGCGUGCGGCGACUGUUGCGCUCGAGGGCGAGCCAGCGCUUGCAGACGAGAGCGCAGGCGUCGCGGCUAGACUUGGAGUGCAUGUGCCGGAAAAUCUCGAUGAUGAGCUCAUCGGGAAGAUAGGAGUUGAUUAGAUCGUGGCCUUUCAUUGGCGACGACCAAGCCUUUUCCUGGCUAAAAAAAAAAAAAAGAGGAGAGAAAUGUGAAGAGGACAGGAAGAAUUGGAGAUACAGCAGUAGGACUGGCGGCGGCGGUGGCGGUGGCGGUGGUUUAGGGGAGAAGAAGCGGUGGAGCGGGCGGUUGGGGAAGAGGAGGAAUAUAGGUGGGCUUUAUGUACCUGCUUCUGUAAGCUUCCUGUGUCUCUCGGCCCUCAAGGCCAAAUAGCCAACACUCCCUCACUUUCUUUUUUUGACUGCUUUUCGAUAAUUAUAUCUUCUCCAUUCGGACCAAAAACAUUUUUUCCUUCUCCUUCUUCUCCUUCUUCUCCUUCUCCCUUUGCCUGCCUGUCUUUUUCCUUUUCUUUUUUUUUCCCCUCUCUCCCUUUUUUUCUUUCUCUUUUUUCCUUGUUUCCAAAAUAUAUGAAAUUUUAAUUUAACGUCAAUAUUAAAUUUAAGGUAAAAAAAAAAACAAAAAAAAAAAAAAACAAAAUCCGAAAACAUCUAAAGUUUUUUAUGAGUUGUUAUUUUUAUUUUUUCUUUUUUUUUCUUUUUUCUGAUUUACUUUAACAAUUUUGUUUUUGUAUUAAUUUAAGAAUAAUUGGAGUAAAAAAAGUCAACUUGGUUUCCAACUAUAUAAAAUUGUGAUAACCAAAGUUUUUUAUUUUUCCCCAAAUAAUUUAAUUAAAUUUAAAAUUGUGUAGAAAAAAUAAAUAAAAAUCUUGUUUUAUUUGUCGCCUAAUGGUGACAUGGAAGGAAUGAAAAGUAAGACGGAAAAAAUGCACCAAUAAAUAACAGUAUAGAGACACAAUGAAAUAACACAAGAAAAAUAAGUGAUGCAUAUAUUUAUAUAGAAGAUAAAUAUUGUAAGUGAAAUGCAUGACAAAUAAGAUGUUUUUAAAAAUAGUUCAACGUUGCAUUAAAAUUUGAUGUUUUUUAAAUAACUUAAUAUCACAUCAAAAUCACAGAGAUAAAAAAUGAAACAACGUAAAUAAAGCAUACGAUGAAAUUAAAUCCUUUUAAAAGGAAAAUUAGAUCUAUGAUAGUUAAACAAAUGAUGAUAAUGGACGAACCUACCGACACAUGAUAGUCCGUACCUUAAAUCCUCUUAAAAGACAUGAUAGGAAAAUGCGAUAUUUUUAUACCUCAUAUCCCCCCAAAUGACUUGUACCUAACAUCUUCGAUGAAUAACAUUACUACUUGAGAAUGUGAAAUGAUAUAUACGUGCUUCACAAACAUAAUUAAUCAAGUAAGCACUUUUAAUAAAAUGUUUUUGAUAUAAACUUAUUGCAUCCAUCUUAGAUAUUUUGAACAAUAAAUAUAUAUAGAAAGUCGUUUUAAUGAAAAAUGUUUUUUUAUCUUUAUAAAGGAUUUCCACUUACUCAAACUUGGUCGAGCUAUCAAAUAAUCACUUAUUAUAAUUUUUUUUCUACUAUCACCCGAUUUGAGCCAUGUUUCAUCAUUGUUAGAGAAGUGCAUGACAAAGCAAUUUAUCUUUUAAAUAAUUCAAUAUGACAUUAAAAUCAUAUAUUUUUCAAAUAACUCAACAUCGCAUUAAAAUUGCACAAGCAAAAAAUGAAACAACAUAAGCAAAGCAUACGAUGAAAUUAAAUCAUUUUAAAGGAAAAUUAGGCCUAUCAUACUUAAACAAAUGAUGAUAAUCAAAGACCUAUAUAAACACGAUGGAUAUUUAUCUUAAAUCCCCAUAAAAUGCAUAAUAAGAAAACACGAUAUUUUUAUCUCUUAAAUCCCUCGAAAAGACUUAUACCUAACCUCUUCAAUUAAUAAACCGACUUAUAUAUGCAUAUAUAUCACAAACGUAACUAGGCAAGUUAGCACUUUUAGCAAAAUGUUUUCAAUACGAUCUUAUUGCAUCGCUUUGAGAUAUUUUGAACGAUAAAUACAUAUAGGAAGUUGUCUUAAUGAAAAUGUUCUUUAUUUUUAAUAGAACAUUUCCAUUUAUUUAAACUUGAUCAACCCAUUAAAUAAUCACUUAUUAUAGUUUUUUAAAACUUUAUUCAAUUUUCAUUUUUAAAAAAUAAGUUACGGAUGGAAGAUGAUAAUAUAUUUUAAUUGUUAAUUUCAUUUACUUCAUUUUAAGUUUUGAAAAAAUACACUUAUUUUAUUAGUUUGAAAUUCCAUUAUAUAUUUUAAUUUUAAAUAAAUAGAGACUAGAUGUAUUAGUCGAAGCCGACAAAAAGGUGAAUGAAAUCAACCCGAUAUUUUUAAGAAUACAAAACAUCUUUUAGAAUUGAAUUUUUAGAGCCUCAUGCCAUGGUAAUUUUUUUUUUUUCCUUGCGUUUUCCUUUUUUUCUUACCUUAUUUUUUCCAUCCGUCCAAACACAGCAGUGUUAGAAAGGUAGAUCCCCGGCAUUCUCCUGGAAUGUCCAGUCAAUAAUUGUAAAAUCCCAAAAUUGAUUAAGGUAGAAAAUCACAUUUAAACAACUACCCAUUACACGAACAGGCGAUCUACACCCGGAAAGCUUCAAGGCGAAUCAACCCAAAUUCCAUUUCUCUGGUGAAACAUCUCCACAGACGGAGGUGAUCUUCCGUGGCAAAAGUGGGAAUUUGGAGAGAAUCCCAUGUCGUUCUCCUUCUUCAAGGCCUCCAGGCCUAAAACCCCUCAGGAACUCGUGAAGGCGAUCAAGGACAGCCUGAUGGCUCUCGACUCCAAAACCGUUGCUGAAGUUAAAGCCCUUGAAAAGGUUGUUUCCCUUGUUCAUUUCCACGCAGGACUAUUUUUCUCUGCAUUGACGAUGAAUUUCUCACUGGGUACUUUGAUUAAGUUAAUACAACAUGUUUUUUCGAUUAAUGGGGUUGCUUGUUUUGGGGCUUAGUGGAGGUGGCUCUACCGCAUUCAUCGAUCGUCGAUUAAAUUUAAUCCAUUGGUGUGCUGUGGUGCUUGAUAGAGGAAUAUCCGAGUCGGGUUCUGUUUGUUGGAUGCUACAAUUGGGUACUAGCGGGGGAGGGCUGUCUGCAUGAAAUGGACACAAUGUUUGAAUUUUGGAUUGAGUUCAAGGAAUUUUCCAUGUAUUGACGAUGAAAUUCUUAAAUGGGUACUUUGAUCAAGUUAAUAUAGCAAGGUUUUGUGAUUGGUUGGAUUGCCUUUUUGGGUUCAGUAUAGGUGCUCACAUGGGGUUGUAUUGCAUGCUUUUUAUGUCUUUUCACCACAUUCAUCAUUUACUGAUUAAAUUUCAUCCAUUGGUAUAGCAUAGUGCUUGAUGAAAUAUUUGAAGUGGGUUGAGUUUGCUGGAUGGAACAAUGGGGUAGUACCGCAUGGCAGGGAAGUGGUGUCUGUUUGAAAUGUAAAUAAUGUUUGUACUUGGAUCGAGUUUAAGAAUGUUUCCUAUAUCAGUGAUUAAUUUCUUAAAUUCUGAUUAAGUUAAUAUGGUACAAAUUUGUGAUUGAUUGAGUUGCUUUUUUUUUUCGUGAAGGCUUAGUAGAAUUCCUCAAAUGGCAUUAUAUUGCAUGGUCGCUGUAAACUACAAUUUUUGCAGCAUAUUCAUUGGAUUAUAGAUUAAAUUUCAUCCAUUUGCAUGCUUUGAUGUGGGACCUGUUUGCUGGAUGCAACAUUUGGGUAGCAACAUGUGGCUAGGGAGUGGUUCAAGGAAAUAGUGUUUGAAUCUUGGAUAAGCAAUGUUUGAUAUCAAGUUUGGCAGUGAUCGAAGUUUAGCAGGGUUUAGGGCUAAAUUCAUUAUGGACUUAUCACUUCCCUUUUAAUCUUACCUCCAGUGAAUUGAAGACUCAUAUCUAAGGCUAUUUUAGAAACAUGAACUUUGGUAAGAAAUUUUUUUCUUAAAAAUAGUAUUGCCAUUCCCACAGAACACUAUCUAGUGAAACUGUCGUUCAAUGGCUUUUUGGGUGGCUGGGCAUGCCCCAAUUCUAUGCUUUAUAAAUAUUUAAAGAUCUUGGUUUUGCUUUUUGGAAUAGAGAGUUGAGUCUGGUAGGAUUUAGAGUCAAUUGAGGACAUAGUGAGGGAAUUUUGUAUGAGAUGGUUUGUCACAGGCAGAAAAAGGAGGGAGUUGAAGGUGUAAAGAGGUGAAUGAACGACACAACUCUAAUGGAGUUGAAUUUCAAAUAGAAUCCAUGCAAUUUACCCCAUGUUAUUGGGAUUCGGUUGAUGUUGAUUUGAAUUGUGUGUGUUUUGCACACAUCGAUUCAAAUUGGUAACAAAUAAGUUUGUAUCCAAAAAAUAUACAGAAAAAAAGGAAUGCAAAAAAAGGGAAUUAAAAGAACAGCAUAAUAACGUGACAGAUGAAAACUUUGCUACAUGCCAUUGUAUGAAAAUGCUUUGAGGCUUUCCUUUAAGUAUACCUAGACCUUUUGUUCUCUGCAUGCACAAAAUUUGUUAACCAUGUCAGUUCUAAUGUUCCUGUUUCUGCUAAGGACCCAUUCCCAAGUAAAUAAACACUGUUAUAUGAGUUUAUCUCUGGAUGUUAUGAUCUCCAUGCGUUGUCAAGUCAAGCAAGUUGGAUGAUUGCAGGUGUCCCAAUUGUCACCAUGUUUAUUACUUCCUCAAGUUGGAAGAACUGAAAAACCAAAAACACCCAAAAUUGCCACUUAAUAGUAGAAAAAUAAGCUUGUAUUGUGACUUUGUGAAAAUAUUGGAUAAGUAGCAGAAAAACAAUUUCUUUCCAAUGCUCAAGAUGUUAAGGGCAAUGGAUCCUCUUGCCCAUUACUUAUUCAUAACAGUAAUGACAGUAGUACCUCAAUUUUUGCAAGGGGUUGUUGAUGGUGGUCUCAUGAAAGGGUACAAGGUGGAGGUAGAGGAGGCAAAGGGGUUGAGAUUUCACACCAUGUGUUCUAAGGCAUUGUCUGGCUUGAAGGGUAACCUAGUUGAAAGUGAUUUCAUUCCAAUUGGGAGGGUGGAUGGGCCUGAGAAGUUGGCUAAUCAUAUGGGCCAUAGAGUGGGGAGUCUUCCCACAAAAUAUUUGUGUUUACGAGCCCAAGGCUUAGCGGGUGGUAUUUUGGUUUGCUGGGAUAAAAGAUCUUUGGAGCUGUUGGAGAUGGAGGUGGGUAAUUUCUCUAUAUCGUGUAGGUUGAAGAAUGUUGAAGACGGAGUGGUGUGGAUUUUUACUGGAGUUUAUGGGCCGUGUAACAGGAAGGAGAGGGAGGAGUUGUGGGAGGAGUUAGGUGCGAUAAGGGGAAUUUGGGAAGAGCCUUGGUGUUUAGGAGGGGACUUUAAUGUUACCUUAUCUCAAAGGGAUAGGAGCAGGCAAGGUAGCCUUAAUGGAGCAAUGCGUAGGUUUGCUCAGGUGGUGGAUGACCUUGCCCUUAUUGAUCUCCCUUUACAGGGGGGUGUGUACUCUUGGAGUGGGGGCAGGAGCAACCAGACUUGGGCUAGAUUGGAUCGCUUCCUGGUAUCCCAGGGUUGGUUAGAUAUUUUCAGGGGGGCUAUUCAGUGUAGGCUUCCUAGGCCUACCUCUGAUCACUUCCCCAUUUUGUUGAAGGGGGGUGGGAUGAGCUGGGGACCCUCUCCGUUCAGGUUUGAAAACAUGUGGCUCAAGGUGGAUGAGUUUAAGGAGCUCCUUCGGGAAUGGUGGCAAGAAGGGGAAAGAGUAGGAAGGGCUAGUUUUAGAAUGACUGCUAAAAUGAAGGAGAUGAAGGAGAAAAUUAAAGUGUGGAACAGGGAUGUUUUUGGUAGAGUGGAAGUGAACAAAAGCUCAGCCCUUCGGAAAAUUGAGUUUUGGGACAGGGUGGAAAGUGGUAGGGACCUCUCAGAAAGAGAAACGGAUCUGAAAAAUGAAGCUAAGGAGAACUUCAAGAAGUGGGUUCUUUUGGAAGAAGCCCAUUGGAGACAAGUGUCUAGGGAGCUGUGGCUUAGAGAAGGAGAUAAGAAUACAGGGUUCUUUCACAAGAUGGCUAGUGCCCAUUGGAGAAAUAACUUUUUGGACAGAAUUAAAAUAAAUGGGGUGGAAUUAGUGGAGGAGCAGGAGGUAAGGGAGGGGAUUGUCAAGACCUUUCAGCACCAGCUAAGGGAAGAACCAGGGUGGAGAGCCGACUUAGAGGGGCUGCAUCUUAAAAGUCUUGACCUUAGUGAAGCUGAAGCUUUGGAGCCCCCCUUUACUGAAGAAGAAAUAUUCUCUGCUCUGAUGGAUAUGGAUGGCGAUAAGGCCCCUGGCCCGGAUGGGUUUACCGUGGCCUUUUGGCAAGCUUGUUGGGACUUCGCUAAGGAGGAGAUAGUAGAGCUGUUCAAGGAAUUUUACGAUCAGAAGUCAUUUGCCAAAAGUCUGAAUGCUACUUUCUUGGUCAUCAUCCCAAAAAAAGGUGGGGCUGAGGGCCUACGGGAGUUUCGGCCUAUCAGUCUGCUAGAGGGGCUGUACAAGCUUAUGGCCAAAGUGUUGGCCAAUAGGCUGAAAAUGGUGUUAGACAAGGUGGUUUCGGCUGAUCAGAAUGCGUUCGUGAGAGAGAGACAAAUUCUAGACGCCUCUCUCAUAGCUAACGAGGUGGUUGACUACUGGCAGAAGAGGAAAGAAAAGGGGUUGAUGUGCAAAUUGGAUAUUGAGAAAGCCUACGACAGCAUCAGCUGGAGCUUCCUUAUGAAGGUCUUGAAAAAGAUGGGCUUUGGGUCGCGUUGGAUGGAUUGGAUGUGGUGGUGUUUUUCAACGGCAAAAUUUUCUGUCCUUAUUAACGGGGUUCUAGCAGGCUUCUUCUCCAGCUCUAAGGGUCUGCGCCAAAGAGACCCAAUUUCUCCUUAUCUUUUUAUCUUGGGCAUGGAAGUGCUGAGUGCACUCAUUAGGCGGGCAGUGCAGGGGAACUUCAUUUUUGAUUGUAGGCUAAAAGGUAGAGGGGAUGCGGAGAUUAUGGUGUCUCAUCUGCUCUUUGCAGACGACACUAUUCUCUUCUGCGAGGCCAGCAAGGAUCAAUUAACUCAUCUUGGAUGGAUUUUGGCGUGGUUUGAGGCGGCUUUUGGGCUUAGGAUCAACCUGGCCAAGAGUGAGCUGAUUCCAGUAGGGGAGAUUGAUAAUAUUGAGGAAAUGGCGGUGGAAUUAGGCUGCAGAAUUGGAAGCUUUCCGGUUAAAUACUUGGGGCUGCCCCUUGGGGCCCGACACAAGGCCUUGUCCACGUGGGACGGGGUGGAGGAAAGAAUGAGGAGAAAACUUGCUCGUUGGAAAAGGCAAUACUUGUCUAAGGGCGGGAGAAUCACCCUUAUUAAGAGCACCUUAGCUAGCAUUCCCAUUUAUCAAAUGUCCAUCUUUAGAAUGCCUACUAAAAGGCUUGAUAAAUUACAAAGAGAUUUUCUUUGGGGAGGGGGAAACACGGGUAGGAAAAUCCAUUUAAUUAAUUGGAAGGUGGUGUGUACUCAAAAGGAGAAGGGGGGUCUUGGUAUUAGGAGGAUGGGGUUAUUGAACAAGGCCUUAUUGGGCAAGUGGAUUUGGAGAUUUGCCGUUGAGAAGGAUGUCUUGUGGAAGAAGGUGAUCGGGGUGAAGCAUGGGUUGGAGGGCUGUGGUUGGAAAUCUAAGGAAGCUCGGGGGCCCUUUGGAGUGGGAGUUUGGAAGGAGAUUUUAAAGGAGAUGAGCUGGUGCUGGAAUAACAUGGAGUUCAAGGUGGGGAGGGGGACUAAGAUCAUGUUCUGGACUAAUCAUUGGUGCGGCGACGAAGCGCUGUCCCAAGCGUUUCCCCAGAUUUUUGCCUUGGCAGUGGGCAGAAAUGAAUUGGUGAAUGAUGUGUGGGACCCAAGGCUUGGCCAAGGAGGGUGGAAUCUCAGAUUGGUUAGAGAUUCUAAUGAUUGGGAGCUAGUGUUAAUAGAAGAUUUGCUCUUUUUGCUAAGGGACAUCAGGGUAACCCUAGAGGAGGAUUCAGUGCUUUGGAAAGGAGGGGAUUCUGCCAGUUUUCGGAUUCGGGUGGCUUACAAUCUGCUGGCAGCCCCUAAUCCUCUUGUUUUUCCGGGAAAAAAUAUUUGGGUGGAUAAGGUCUCAACCAAAGUGGCUUUUUUUUGCGUGGGAGGCUACUUGGGAAAAAAUCCUCACGUUGGAUAGGCUGCAAAUGCGUGGGUGGCAGCUUCCAAAUUGUUGUUUUUUGUGUGGUUGUGAAGAGGAAAAUGUAAAUCACAUUCUUUUACACUGUACAGUGGUUAGGACCCUUUGGGAAAUUGCCUUUGCCUUAUUUGGGGUUCAGUGGGUGUUUCCAGAGAAGGUCAAAGAGGUGUUGUUCUGUUGGCGGGGCCCUUUUGUGGGUUAAAAAAGGAAGAAGAUAUGGAAGACCAUUCUGUUAUGUAUUUUUUGGACGGUGUGGAAGGAAAGAAAUAGGUUAGCUUUUAGAGGGGGUCUUUUGGCUAUUCAGACUCUUAAGAAUUCUUUUGUAUGUAGUCUGUGGAGUUGGGCUAAGUUGUAUAGGGGAGAGGAGUCCUCUUCACUUCUAGGCUUCUUGGAGUGGGUAGCGGUCCCCUAAGGGCUGGUGAGGUGUUCCUGUUUAUGUUUUUUUGGCCUUGUGGCUGCUUUGUAUACCUCUUGUAUGCGGUGCGGCCUUUCGGCCUUCUUUAAUAUAUUUUCUGCUCUCGCUUAUCAAAAAAAAAAAAAAAAUUUGUGUUUACAUCGGGGCGUCAUUAAGUCUCCUUUGUUGUAGGAUUCAGUUGAGAAAAGAUUCAAAAGAGGGCUGACUUUUUGGAAAUGGCAAUAUCUUUCUA